This 51239-nucleotide long non-coding RNA is filed under the name Solanum melongena (eggplant). Its description in RNAcentral is "long non-coding RNA (SMEL_LNC000134)". Lineage: Eukaryota; Viridiplantae; Streptophyta; Magnoliopsida; Solanales; Solanaceae. The record is from RNAcentral.
UAUUUGAACCUCAACUUUGAAAGCUCGCUUCUUUUAGAAGUCAUAGAACAUAUGUACCAUUUAAUCCGACUUCCAACUUCGGGCAUGGGUACACAAAUAAAAUUCCAGGCAAACACAUGUAUCUUACGUAACAUAAUACACUUUUAUGUGAAAUGCUCCAGGUAAUUAAUCAUACUCGACAUUAUCGGGGUUGUUUAUUUACUAUUGCUUGCUAUUAUAGUUUAGUUUGGGGAAAUAUUACCUAAAAUUAUCAACUAGCAAAAAAGAAAACAUUCUAUAAGUUAUAACCGAAGUAAAGAAAAUGCUGUAUUGGGUGCAAAAGGAGGGAAAAAGAGGCUAAAUAUGACAGAAAGUAACUUGGAGAAAAAGACUUAGAUUUAGCUUUUUCUUUAUAUGCUUAUGACUCAGUUCAUCAUUCAACAUUCACAACAACAACCCUCUUUUAUGCACAAGAGAUACCAAACACUACACAUCAAAGGGAAGAACCUAACGGCAUCCUCUCCUUGAACCUCGCAUAUGCUACAACCAGAACUUUAACCAGAUUGGACUCGAGCUUGAGUAGAGAUCGAUCAGCUUGGUAGAGCUUGGAAUUUAACUCCUUCUUAGUCUACCAAAUGGAAUACUGAACACCUAAAUAAAAGUAAAAGAACUUAACCAGAUUACACCUCAACAGUACCUUUUGACUGUUGAUUGUUUUCUGUUGCUUUCUUUGAAAGCUCAUUCAUAGUUUAUAGUAGUUAUAUUUAAUUUUAGGGUUACUUAGGCUGAGGGCAUUCUUUUUGACAAACCCUUCAAGACCUCAUUCCCACAUGAUACUCCUUCUAAUAUUUGUCAUUUGUCUUCACAACAUCAAAAUUUGCAUUAGAGUUCUCCUCCUCUUCGUCAUAAGCUGUAAACAAAAAACAAAUGAAAACGGGAAAUGGUUCAGUUCAAAUAGCAUCAGAUCCUAACUCAACAAUCACCAAUUCGCCAACACAUUCGUUAUAUCUCUAGCUUCAUUGAUACUUUGGUUUUAACGUUUUAAACCAAAAAUCCAACACCUUUUAUAAGAAAAUUGGCCAUAGUUUGUUUCAUAGUGAAGAUUGAGACAUCUGGUCUAACUUUCCCAGUCCAAAUCCACAAUAUUCAACAGCAGAUGCCAUAACUUACCUACUAUCUUCUUUAUUUAAGACAUAAUCUCCUUCUUGUUCUUUCUUUGUCCUGUGGAAGUUUUUCCAUUCAGCCGCCCAAAAGAUACCAAAGAAGACUAAAAAGUUGUAUCCAAAUUUAACAAUUAAAUACUAAUACAAUGGGGGGAACUUUUUCUUUAGGUUGUUAAUUGUUAUCCAAGACUUGUGAGCGUAUGAAUAUGCGACAAAGAAAGAAAGAAUAAAAUUUUCAAGAUUUUCCACAAUAUCUAAGCAUUGAUUCAUAGCAUGUUUAUAGAAAAUGGUUACACAUGACAGUUCACAAUUACUAGUUUAAGAGAAGUUCACAUAAAGUUGGUGAAAACAUAACUAUCUUCACAUAUUGAACAGCUCCAAUUCACCUAAUAUGCUCAGCAAUUUAAAAUAUCUAGUCUAGAUAGAUUCUAAAAAUGUCUCAUCACCAUAAAAGGGAAAAAAGAAAGCACCUUGAAAAGAUUUACCACUCAAAUUGUUCACACUUCGAGUAUCUUCAAGCUAACUUUAGUUUAGUGAUAUUACUAGUAAUACUUUCUAAAACACUAUAACAGCCGUCAAUCUCAAAUCACCAAUUCUACCAAGUAAAUUCACCAAAACUUAACUGAAAAAAAUCACAAAAAGGGAAAGAAGAGAACUUACCAAGAAAAAGAAGUUUUAGUCCUUAAAAAUGACGGAAUCCGCCAUUUCCAUCAACAAUUUCAAGCUAUCCGGAGAGAAUUUUCUUGCAAACAUGUAAGGAUACGUUGAAUUCGACUCUCUGAGCUUGUAAAUCAGCUCAGGGGAAACUUCAGGUGGCUGAUAAGUAUGGGGAUGUCCACCAACUGAGUCAGUCCAAUUCACCCGAGUCAAUGUGUGCCGAGUACAGCCAUUAGGAUCCUCCAUUGAUAACAAAGUAGGAAAAUAGUGUUCUUCAGGAUAACAAGACUGGAUUUUUACACAAGGUUUCUUAAAUUUCCUCCAUAGCUUACUAUCCUUGAUCACCAUCAAUGAAUGUUUUCUUGUAAUAACAAAAAACUGUGACCCAACACGGAAUUUAUCAAAACUCACUUCUGGUUCCAUCACAUUUUCCCCUCUAGCAUUAUACCUAUCUAAUAACGAAGGAGAUUCCGUAAGAAUCUCUAUAUAACUAGGGAACUCCAUCUUCCUAGAUAAUUUCUGGGUAUCCAACAGAAAAUUGUAGAAGUAAUUAAACGAGUGCAAAGGUAUACAAUGCUGAGAGAUAAGAGCAAAAUAAACAUUAUCUGGGUCAUCAAGCAAAGCGUGAGCUAGAAGGCGACGCGUGGCUGAGAUAAGUGUCGGUGAUGAGCGUUGAGUUCUCUUGGCAUGUAUAAAUCUGUCGGCGAAAACACCCACCGGAGGAUUAAUCUUCACUGUAGGAUCAGCGUGAAUGUAGAUAUUAUAGAGAUGUGGAUCAGACGCAUAGAAGAACUUGUGCCACAAGGGUUCAAAGUGCAAAUCUGAAUUCGUUAAAAAGAGAAAAGCGAUUUUAGGGCGGCGAACGGUGGUGGAACCGAGACGGAAUUUGUUGGAAGGGUGUUUCCUGGAUGGUUUUUUGAGAAAAGUAGCAUCGGCGGCGAUGGCUUUGUGAAAAAGGGAAAGAUCGUCGAGUUCAUCAGGGAGAGAAAUGGGUAUUUGUCGUUGCGGAAGAAUUGACGGUGCUAAGUAAAAGAUGAUUGGGAUAGAGAUGAGAAGUGUAAGAGAUGGGACAAGGAUGUAGUAUUUGAACAUUGUUGAAGAAAAAGCACAAAAGGGGAAAUGGGUUUAGAGUGAAAGUACCAUUGAAAGGAGCUUAAAAAUGGGGAGAAGAAGAAAGGGGGUUUGGGGAUUAGGGUUUGGGGGAGAGAUUAGAGGUGAAGAUGAAGAAGUGAGCAUUUGGAUUGAGAUUUGAGAAGAGAGAGAUGGAGGAGAUAAUGGUGAAAUAGCUUUGCUUGAAUAGAGUUAAGUAGAGAAGUUGUGGGGGAGGGGGGGAGGUUAGGUAUGGUGGGUUGGGUGGGGGUGGGGUGUACUGUGGGUCCUUUCUUAUUUAUUUUUCCGGUUAUUUGACGUAAAGGACUAUAUCAUUUACACCAACUUGAUAUUAAUAAAUACUAUGGUAUAUGGUCCAUAGCUACUAAUUUUAAUUUUACUACAAUAUUUAAUUUAAUUAUAUGAAAUUUUUUAUGGUAGUCCAAAUUAGCCAUUAAAUUUUUAAAUAAUUAUUUUUGGAACUUACGUAACAUAAAAAGGUAUAUCUGGGUUAUUUAUAAAAUGGUAAAGAUAUAUCUCGAUCAUUUUUAAGGUCAAAUUAAAGAAAUUACAUAUUUUUUAAGAUAAAAUUAUAAUCUAUCAUUUAAAAGUUUAUAAGUAUUGAAAUCUCUCAAACGGAUACAAUAAUAUAAGUGUUAAUAUAUUAAAAAGAGGUCGGAUACAUUAAUGAUCAUAAAAUCAAAGCACUAAUACAUCAAAAAGAGGGUCAUAUACAUUAAUUGAGAAUCCGAAUACAUUAAUGGACAAAAAAUCACAGUGUUAAUACUUUAAAAAGAGAGUCAACUACUUUAAUAACAUUUUUUACUUAAGAGAAAAAUAAAAAAUUUUACAAAUUUGUAAAACUUAUAAAGAAUAGUGAUAAAUAGUAAAUUAAAAGAUAAAAACUUUGUUUUUAUCAGAAAGUAUUCUAUUUUUAGGAAUUUAAGAAUGAACUCACACUUACGUGAAACUAUUCUCCUCUGCCUAAAUGCAACCUUGUCUACAAUUGAAUAUAUUACAUGAAUAUUUAGGACAUUUUAUGCUAUUUUUAUGCUUUAAAUCUUUGAUAAUAUUUUAUAUGAGUUAAACUGCAAAGGAAUUUGUAAGGCUAGUAAACUACUUUAACUUGUUAAGCAUUGAAAUAAAAGAGAUUCAAAUUUAGUGAAUAUCGAAUGAAAAAUAAAAUAAAUAUAAAUAAAAUAAUACAAUAAAUAAAAAUUUAUAUAAAUCUAAAUAAUGUUACGUUAAAGAAAGUUAAAAUUAAAAUACACCGUUAAAAAAAUCAGUAAAACAGUAAUUCUUUUAAUUUGUCGGAACAAAAACAUGUUAGUAGUAUGUAAUUACUUCUUUAGUAUUAUGCUGAUUGAAAUUAAGAAAUACUUUAAAUUAGACAAGAUCUUGCAGCAUGGUUUAAUAUUAUAUUUUAUAUUUGAUCAAUUAUAAAGUAUAAAUCAGGAAUAACGCAUCAUUACAUGCUACUAUUAUUUUAAUCCAUGGCAAUUAAAUUUCCAUUUUCAUGUCUUGUAAGGUAUGUGAUGACAAACUUAAUUAAUAUAGUAUAGUAUUAGGUCAUCCAAUAAGCAAUCUUCAAGUUGUUUAAUGUUAAUUAUCAUAAAUUAAAGAUGUUUCAUUGACAUAACCUAAUUAAUAUAAUCCUAUAUAAAGAUUAGUGCAGACGCCACGGGUUUACCCUUAUCUAACCAAAAUGCCAAAUUAUGUGCAUCACCUAUAAGUCCUACAUAUUUGUAUUUUUUAAAUCGAAUGAUUAUAAUAGAGUGAUAAAGAUGUUUUCGUUUUUAACUAGAAUUUUCUGUUCGAAUAUUAAAUAUAAAAUAUAAAAUAUAUCUCAUAAGAAAUGUUUUACUUUUAAAAUUAUUAUUAUUAUGAUAAAAAUCACGAUUAAUUGAACCUGAAUGAAAUUUUAUUUAAAAUAUACUCUUGGCUACAUUCUUAUUAUUUUAUAAUUUAUUUUUGUUUGGUUAGGAUGGGGCUAACAAAAGUGAGCAAGGAAAAGUAAAAGAAGGAUGCUCUUUUAUGAAAUUAGAACCCUACAUUUUAAGCUAAAGAGUGCUAUUAAAAAUCACAACAAACCCAUUAAUUUCUUUUUCAACUAAGCAAAAUCCUAGCUUUUACCUUUGGUUUAUUUAUUAAUAAUAAGUAAAAUAAAACUUAUGAUGUAACGUUUUUUGAAAAUAAAUCUACAUUUAAAAGUGGUUUAGGUCUCCCAACCACCUUUCCAAAAUACAAAAAAUAAAGAUAGGUGACUAAUGUAUGCAUCUGCAUUUUGUUUUUUCAAAAACAUUUAUACAUUUGAUUGUGACAUAUCAUUACCCGCUCCAAUAUUUGUUGGAGUAAAGAGAAAAGCGGGGACGCCAUCGAUAUAAUAUUGACGAUCUUAUAAAAUAAAAUAAUAUAAUCAAGUAAAAAUAAAUUUAACUUGUUCUCAUUUCUAUUAUGAAUUAUGAGUUAAUUUUACGCAAAUAUUACUUUUUUUAAUCAUCAUUUAGGUCUCGAUCUCACCUAAGUGAUGAUAGUUUAUCAUGUAAAAUAAAAAUAAGAUAUUUAUACAUAUCACUCUAUCUAUUGUUAUUAUUUAAAAUUUAAGAAAAUAGAUAUUUUUUCAAAAAUUCUUCUGAAUGAUGUUAAAUUUGAGUUUAGCUGGCUCAUAUAUUUGUCACCUAAAAUACUGUUAAGUUACAAUUGUUUAUUAAAUAGUUAUUUAAUGAAUAAGGUCAAAAUGAUAAAAUUAAAUAUUAUUUUGCUUCUCGUGUAUAUUUAAAAUUUAUGUUUUUACAAUCUAUUAUAAUAUUAUUUUUGUUAUUAAAAGUAACUAAAUAAAAUAAUAUUAAUUACAUUUAAAAUUCUAAAAUAUAACUAAAUAAAAACAUUUCAAUUAAAUAAUCUAUAAUAAAAAAGUGUUGUCUAUUGAUAAGGUUUGCAUAUACUUCAUUUGUAAAAAUUAAUCCGUUGAGAUGAGAACAUGCAUUCUAUCAUAUUCGAUAUUACUAUGUAGGGGUAAGAUUGAAACACUUUAUCAAACUCGAUAUUUAAUUUAUUUGUUUUAUUGUUUUUCGAGAACAUCACACGGUUAAACAAAUUUAUACUAUUUACAUAAUCAUCAUAUCUAUAGUUUGCUACAAUUACCAUUCGCGACUACCAUUGAGUGUUAAUUUCAUGAGUUGGUUUCGAGUUUAUAUAAUUCGCAACUAACAAUUCUCGUUUGAUUUGUAUUUGUAUACAAUGAGUUGUAUUUGUAUAUGACAAUGAUUUCUUUUUAUUUUUUUCAGUUUUAUCGUCAGAUACAUUUAAUCGUUUUUGUAUAUAACUUUUUAAUGUUUGUAUAAACGUGUAAUUUUUAGAUUUUGUAUAACUGUUUAAAGUUCAAAUAUUUGUAUUUGUAAAAAUUUAUUAUUUUGAGUUUCAUAAUAUUUGUAUAAUUUCAAAAUUUAUAUUACUCAAUCAUAUAAACACACACAAAUUAUAUAAACGUAUCCGUGAAUUAUACAGUAAAUAAAUUAUUGCUCUCUCGCGCUCGCAUCUCUCCUCCCUCUCCCAAUCUCAUUUGAUCUCUCCUUCCUAUCUCAUUCUCGCUCGCUUCUUUUCUUCUCUAACAUAUAGCUACGAAUAGUGAUUAGUCAGUUUAUAACUAUAGAACCUAAUUAAAUUAUUUAAAUGACUCUGCGGAAACUUCCUUAUUUUUAAAUCAAUUUUUUUAAAGAACGUCUCUUUUUAAAAUGUCGUAGUAAUAUUUAUUUUUUGAUUUUCUUAAAUUUGAUGCCAAACCAUUCAAAAACUGCAUUUUAUUUAUUUUGGGUAAAACUUAACUCAACGAUAAAUUCUGGUUAUCUUCUCUUCCUUUCCCCUUUCAUGAAAUGCCGUCGCUGUCGUCCGGUCUCGUCACCGGCGGAUUCUCCGCCGCCUCUGUCAGUUAUCUCCAUUUCCUUUGUCAUGUUUAGUCUUCUCCAUUGUCUAUUCUUCACCUUUUUCUCACAUCCCAUUUUUGUGAAACCCAAAAUCCCCCCUACCCAAUGCUUCUACCUCGUGAAGAAAAACAAGGCGAUUCGGGUCCGAAAAUGGGUCGACCCCAUCUCCUUCCUCUAUAAACCUGAGCAAUAAUGAGAGCUAGAAUACAAAGAGUGAACUACGAUAAGAAGUAUGCUUCCUUUUGUUUUUGCUGCUCAUAUAUAUUCUCCAUUUUCUUACUUUUUUGUCUAUUGUUUUUGUAGAUUGAGCUAAUCAUUUUAGGUGUAUAAGUAUGAGAUUUAGGCAGAGAAAGAAAGUGAACAACAAAAUGGUGACACCAGUGGAGCAUGUAUCUAUCCCUCAUGACCUCCCUGAGUUCUUUAAGAUUUUUCACCCUGAAAUAUGCUACCCCCAACUGGUAAUCUCUUCUUUCCCUUCUGCUAAUUGUGGAAAAAAAACUAAUGAUUCAUGUAAUAAUGUCAAAAGUUUUCAUGUAUAGAGAGAAUCAGUCUUGCAGGAAUUUGUACUUAGCUACUCAUUUGAGUGAUUGAAUCUCUGGGAAUAUGCUUUUGGAGAAAUAACUAACAGAGGAGCUUUUUCCCCCUUUCUAAAAUGCUGAUCUUUCGGGAUGAUACGCAUUAGUGCAUUUGGUUGUAUCCUGUGGCGGAACCAGGAUUUCAACUGAUUGGGCUCAAAAUAUGAAAAGUAUAACACAAAGAAGCCAAAGGGUUCAACAUAUACUAUAUACACAUAAUAAGAAACAAUUUUAACCAUGUAUAAACGAUGUAAGUUCCCAUGGAAGGGGUUCAUCCCUUGGCUCUACCUGGCUGUCUGCUAUUGACUUGUAUUAAGAUAAUUUGGAUGAAAUUAAGGAGCAUUCCACUAGUUGAACUUUAACUUACUCCAACUUUCCCGUCUGUUCUUAAUCUCUUAUACUGUAUGUAAGAGAGAAAUCUAUAUCAUGCAGCUAUGUUCUCUUAUAGUUUUUGAUUCUUGUUUGCUUGUUCACAGUUCAUAAUGGAUCCUUUAAGAUGAUUGAGGUGUAUCGAGUUUUAAUUGGAAGCGUUGAGGAAAGUAAUGUUCAAAACUAGCAAAUAAGUAUCUCGUAUUUAGACCGGUGUUUAUCAUCAUACUAAGCAAUGUAUAUUCGUAUAAUUGUGUAAAAUUACACUUUAUGCAUCUGCCAAGGGAAUGUCAAUUAGAUACUUCCUUACUGACUUCAGAGUGGACUAAUGGAAUAAUAAACGAUCUAAUGGUGGUUAAGGUUCUAGAUUUAGAAGACUAUAUUGGACAUAAUCUGGCCAUCCAUUUAGAAAUUAGCUCUGGACUUAGAAUUUCUAUUUGUGUUGAAAGCUUUUCUGUCUUAUUGUAUUGUUUAUAUUGCAUUAACUUUAUUUCACCGUAAAUUAAGCGAAGUUAUGUCUCCGUCUCUUAGAGAAUUCCACCUGCCUUUAUCAAGUUUUUCAAUGGAGAUAUUCCUUCAAUAUGUGUGCUUGAAGAUCUAGCUACGAGAACUUGGAAGGUGGUUGUAGAAAAGAACGACAGUGAUUUCUUUUUCAUGGAAAGUUGGCCAGACUUUGUGUUGUAUAAUAAUUUGGAAUAUGGAGAUUUUCUAACAUUUUCAUAUGCUGGAAACUCGAAGUUUUAUGUGAAGAUAUAUGGGAAAAACGGUUGCCUAAAGGAGGAUGUAACAGCUCUCAAAGAGCCUGAGCUGCUUCCAUUGGUAGAAGAAAAAGCACGGGGUAAGUUUCUUUGGAGAUCUUCAAUUUGUAGCUAGUUUGGUGUCAACACAUUUGUCUCCAUGUUUAACCUAUAAUGGUCAACUUACAAAGUUUGGAACCGAUGCAGGAAAAAGCAUUGUAGCUGAGCCUGCUGAUCAAACAGAUAAUGGGUCGGGAGACAUGGCUUCUUCAGUCACUUCAUUUGAAAUUGUCAUUAAGGCAUCCCACUUGAACAGAGCACGCUUGGUAAGUUUACUAGUCACAAAAAUAUUUUGUGUAUGCAUAAAUCAUUAAACACAACCUAUUCUUGAAAAUGUCAUUAAUCAAAACAGCUUUACCGUCCAAAAGGUGAACAAUUUUGAGCUUUCCAAGGAAAUGCUGGUAGGAAUUUCAAGCCAGUUUUGCACUCUUAACAGUGAAGUGGGUGUUUGGCCAUAAAAAAACCAAAUGUUUUCCGGAAAAAAGUGAAUUUCUCAUGGCUAAAUGCGUCCUAACUAUCUGCGAAUCACUAAAAUCUCUUCUAAACUGAAUGUUCCAACCUCUAACAUCAUCUGAGUCUUCAGUAACACAAUUGACUUUUGUAUAGUUGUUACUGAAGAUGUAAUUAAGUCAAGUUGUGCAAUAUGUUCUCUGCAUAUGAUAUACAGAUGAUGAUUACAGGGCGUUUAACUGUAUAGUUGUUACUGAAGGUGUAAUUGUGUCAAUUGUUGUGCGAUAUCUUCUCUGCGUAUGAUAUGCAAUAGAUGAUAACAGGGCGUCUAACUAUUGUAUAGCUGUACUUUGUGUGUCUUCACAAUAACAUCAGAUAGGUAAAAUCAUAGUGGCCAAAUGGUAUUGCUUGAAUUAGUUAAAUAUACUUUGAUGGGAAAUUGUCUUCUACUUGAUGUAGAUCUUUUUAAUUCAUAGCAUUUGUUACUAAUCACUAGAUUAUUAAAUGUAUAUUUGUGUCUGAACAUGUUUUUGAAUGUAUAUACUUGUGCAGAAUUUGCCAGCUCCAUUUGGCAAUUGUUACUUGAAGAGGAAGAAGCGGCCACUUAUGGCUACUCUUCGAACUGAUAGUGGUAGCUGGACGAUUGUUCCUCAAUAUUAUGAUAGAUUGGAACUUCGGGAAGGGAUACAGAAAUUUAUAGACGACAAUGCUUUGCGCGUAAAUGAUGUUUGCCGAUUUAAGCUGAUUGAUGAUGAGAAGUUAAUACUGAAAGUUCGCAUUAAGCGUCAGCCCAAGUAAAUUAGUCAUAUCUAAGAGUAAUAUCUCGUUUUUGGACCAAAUGUUUCUGCCUGAGAAAGGCAUUAGUUGAUGUAUUAGAGCUUUUAUGUCGAUGAAUUUACAACGUUCUGUAGUAUGGUAUUAAAACUAUUAACUAUUCCCUCCGUUCCAUUUUACUUGUAUCAGAUGAAAUUAUUUGUAGUUGAAUAUUAAACGGAAAAAGGCUAAAUAUAUUCAUGACGUGUGGAAAACAGCAAACUAAUAUGUUUGAUUUAGCUAUUGGUUUAAAAAUAUCCUUUAUUGAAACAGGUUGUUUGCCCAACCUUGGGCGAACUGUAAUUUCUGUUGAAUAAUUAAACGGAAAAUGGCAACUAUUAAAACUGAUAGAGCUAGCUGACAUUCAAAAUAGAGGCAAUUCCCUUUGAUUAUUCAGCUUAGUAUUUGGUUCAAAUAUUUGUACUACUAAACAUUUUAUUGAUAAGGUCUUUGCAAAUUCAAACUUAACUAUUUUUUAAGUCCAUAUUUAGAGUAGAGCUGUCAAUACUAGCUUGCUCACUAACCAACUCAACCCGUUCUAUAAGUGAUUUGGUAGGAUUGAGUUAUAAUUUUUGAAGCUAGUUUAAAAAUGAAUCUUUUAGCCUGGUAGAAGUAAGCUUACUAACAUGUGAGGUUUGAACAAGGUAGGGUUGGUCAGCUUGUAAACAGGGGCGGAGCUACCUUCAUAUAAGGAGGUUCAUUCGAACUUUUUUAGGCGGAAAAUUAUAUUAUUUAUAUAUGGUUAAAAUAAAUUUAUAUGUGUAUAUAGUAAUAUCGAACCCACUUCGGCUAUCUAUUUCUAUAAAUUUUGGACCCCUUAUUGAAUUCUUGCUCUGCCUCUGCUUGUAAAUCAAAUAAAUAUAAUAAUACAUGAAAUGAUAUAGAGCACUUAGUGCGCGUUUGAUAAUAAAAAUUGUGAAGUAUAAGUUUUUUGCAUUGUUAGUGGACUCACUUCUGACACUGGAUUAUUUUUUCCUGAAUUAGUAAAGUCAAAUUGCUGCCUCCAUUUCAGUGGAAGUUGAUACACCUAAAUAAGCUACCAAUUAAUCAUAUUGCAAAGGUCAACUUAAAUUAAUUUUAAUUGCUUAAUAAUGAAAGUUAAUAAAGGGCAUUGUUUGAAUUUGAACUUUGGUUUGAAUUUAAGAUUGUGUACUUGGACAUUCGAAAGUAUACUUCAAUAAAAAUAUGUGAAAAUUCUAUCAAAAAAUUAUGAUGAGAUGAAUAUGAUUCUUCAAUCCUUAAUCGGUAAGUAAUGAAUUCGAUUAACAUCAAUCAUGAAUGAAAUGUUUUUUGGUGGGGAACACUUAUCGUUAAGUAAACCUUACAUGAGUAAUUUGAAUUAGUCAAACUUAAAAAAAAAACAGAAAUGAAUUUGGUGUUUUGGUGUCUAACAUUUAAUCCCAAACAUUAGGUGAAUCUAAUUAAUACAAUUACACGUUAGGAAGACAAGGGUUUAACAUUUAAGCAGGUACAUAUAUUUGAUGUCAAGGACUUGAUCUGUUGUGUAAAUGUUCAAUUUGGAGUAGUAAUUAGGAAAUAAGAGAUGUUUUCAAAGAUGAUUUGGUGAGGAAAAAGAUAUAUAUCUGCCAUAUAUAUUUCUAAGAUUAGUUUUCCUUGGAAUUUUGAUUUUGAAGUGUGUGAUUUAAUGACUUUGGAUUGUGACCUUUAAAUCAAAAUAUAGUCAAAUAUUUGGUGAAGGAUUAUUAUUAUUCUAGGGUGAAGUCCAUGAAGUAAAAAUAUCAUUCUGGUCAUAUUUUGGUCAAAAAAAAUCCGUAAAAUAUUUUAUUAUUGAAGCAGGGAUGGCAAUUUCAAUUCAUAUAAGUGAAAUAAAAUUAUUUUAUCCAUAUUAAAUUAAAUGGAUCACUCAUAUUUUUUUUCAUUUUUUAACUGGAUUAAUAUGGUCUUCAACCUAUUUAAGUUCAUACAAUAUGGACAAAAUGAGUUAACAUGAGAAUUGAUAUUCAGCCCAUAUUAAGCCCAUAUAAAUGAGAAAUAAAAUAAUUUUUUUUCUUUUUAAAAACAAAAAAAUUUAGGAGUCGGUCAAUGCCACGGAGGUUGUGGGGGGAGGGGGGGGGGGUGCUUGAGGAAGAGGGUAAAUUUCUUUUUUUUUUUUUUUGGAAAAUAAAAAAAUUUAGAGGUAGGUUGGUGGAAGAUGGGGAUGGGUAGGGGGUACCAGGGGGAGGAGGUAAUUUUUUUUAUAUUUGAAAAAUAAAAUUUUUUAGGGGUAGGUUGGUGGAGGGGGAGUAGGGGGGCAGGGGUAAAUUUUAUUUUAUUUUUUAAAAUAGAUUUUUUUUUUCCAUAACAAAAAUUUUUUAGGGGUAGGUCUGAAAGAUCGCGAGGAGGUGGUUGAAGGAGGAAUAAUUUUUUUUUUUGAAAAAUAAAUUUAUUUAAAUGGAUUAGAACCACUUUAUCCAAAUCAUAUUUGGAUGAAUUGUAAUCAAAAUCAUUUUUUCUCAAUUCAUAUUUAAUCCAUUUAAAUUCGAUUCAAUCCAACUAUUUGCUAUCUCUUUGAAAUACAAUUUUUUGACACAAAUAUAAAUUAACCAACUUCAAAAUAAAUAUCAACAACGGCUGCGGAAAAAAGAAGGAGGUAAUACGUACUGUGUUACCUAAAUAUUUCCAAACUGGCCUAGCAAAAAUUUCCCAUUAUUAAUGACUAUGAUUUGAACAUUUAAUGCUGGUAUUAAUUUGGACCGCUCGUAGUACAUCACUUGCAGAGUUAUAAUAUCUUCUUGGCAUAAUCGUAUAUGUGCAAACACCAUUUUUUAGAUGGAUAAGGCUGCAUUAAUUAUUAAAUACUAGGGAAAAUACAUAAUAAUAAUAAAAAAAAUUUCUAAAUUUGAUAGCAAAAUUCACUUUAGUACUUAAACUAUACGAUGUUUAAAUAUCCUUCUUAUUAUCUUUAAAGUGAUUUUUUUGCCACCUUGAGACUGUAACACCACUCUCACCCGCCACAUCAUAUCCAUGUAAGUGCCACAUCAUAACCAUGUAGGUACCAUGUCAUUAAUUUUUAAUUCUUUCUUACUUAUUCACUAUUUCCUAUUAAACCUUUUUAAUAUUAGUUAUAUCAAUUAAUUAAUUUAUAAAUGCAUACCCUCACCCUCUCUAUUUCAUCUUCCUUGUUGUUCACCAUUUCAACCUUCAAUACUUACUUUUCUUAUACACUAUUCAACAUUUUUCUUAAAUAACUAGAAUGAAAUUAUUCACUAUAAUAUUCACGUUAUCUUCUUCGAAUCCACCCCACACAUUUACCCUUUCAGAGGAAGAUUUUUUUUUGAAAGUCAAGACUUUAUUGUCAACUCAAAUAAGAAAUGAAGAUUACAUAAAGAAAGUUGAUAAAAAAAAUAUAAAUUCUAUGGAGGAGGAGGUGUUUCAAUGGAGAAAAAAGUGUAUUAGGGAAGACAAAAAAAUAAAAAGAAAAAAAUUAAAGAAAUUAAAAGGGACCCACUAGUUCUAUAUAUCUCUAAAUAAUUUUUUUACAUAUUUUUAAAGAAUUAAUGUAUCAAGAAUAAGUAUUUAAAAUAUUAAUUAUAUAUUAACCAAUAAAAAGAAGUCAUGUGUAGGACUUUAAAAGAUUCAAUUUUUUUUCUUUUUUCACACGCUUUAAGGAGAGUACACUCACUUUUCCUGUCAUGUCAUCCCUAAUGGGUGUUUAAAUCACUUGAAAAAUGUUAAGAGAGUAUUUAAAUGUCUGUAUAAUUUAAGGGUUAAAAUAAAUUCUGCUGUCAAGUUUAGAAUUUCUUUUUAUGUAUUUACACUAAAUACUAUGAUCUUUUUUUUAAUUUUUAUAGAGAACUAAUUUUCGACUGAUAAAUUCUUUUCCUUGCAUCACGAACACAUUCAUAUUUAUAAGGACUUCUCGAGAGACUAUAAUGUUAAUUUAUCAAAUUAAUAAUGCUUAUAAAUUGAGUCUUUCAUUAAUUAUAACUUGUAAACACUUAAUUUUGUAAGGACAUUUGGUGUGCCCUAAACUUAUAAAUGCUUAUUAUUUACUUCUUUGGCUUACAUGAAUUUCGUUUAAAUAUACAAACACAUUAUAAUAAUAACAAUAUCUUAAUUCUAUGUAAGUUAGAAACCAGCUAUAUAAAUUUUUGCCGUAUUAUUUUUUUCUUUAAGAUAAAAUAUAAUCUAAAAACGAAUCUGAGAAGUUCGUACAAGCUAUAGUACUAAUCAGCAUUCAAUAAAAAGUUGAUGAAAAAAACAUUUAAUGUUGUAGUAGAUUUAACGACACAAAGUUAAUAAAUUAUUUCACCAGAGCCUACAAAUUGUUGGUUUAAUAUAUAGUUUUGUUACAGGUUUAUUGGUAAAACUAUUCAAAGUUUACUGAGAAGAAUUAAAUACGGUAACAUAUCAGGAUAAAAAGUAAACUCUCUUUUGUUAUUUUUAAUUUGAAAUAAUCUCAUACUCAAUCAAAUCUCAAAUUCGAGCCUAGAGAGAGAAUUUUAUUAGGAACAUCACCUCAAAUAAGCUAUAGAGUGUUCGAUUUAAAUUUUAUAAAAAAUUUAAUACGUAUAACAAACGCCAAACGAAAAAUCAAGAAAAAGAACUACUCGAUCACUCCAAAAAAGUUGAAGAAGAUUUCUUUUUACUAAUUUAUUCUUAAUUAAAUGUCUUAAAAAGGAUAUUUCUUUAAAUAAGGCUAAAAAGAAAUAUGAGAGUACUUUUUUUUGAUUUUAUAACAAUAAUAACAUAUUCAAUUAAAUUUAAAAAAGACAAAUUGUAUACAAAUUUUACUAUUACCUCAUUAAGAUAAGAUAGAGCAAUCAUUUUCGACUAAUUGAUUUUGGAAGGGGUAAAAGAAUUCAAAAAUAGGUAAAACAUUAAAUGAUGUGAGCAGCUAACAUUAGUAUAUUAGCUUUAACUAGGUUAGGUUUCAGAGAAAAAUUAACUGUACCUCAGGCAACAACUACAGUUGGUCAUGUUGGACCCCUUCUUGAAAAUAAUCGUUAUACCAAUUUAAAGAUACUCUUAAUAUACAAUAAACGAUAUAAUAAUGAUUUUAACAAAAUUUCUUCUUUAAUUUAGCGAACCUUAAUAGAAAAAACUGAAUAGACUGUUGGUGGGAGAAGCAUAGAUUUGAAAAGGAAUAAUUAGUUAUCUUUUUUAUUUCCUAAACUGAAUAUUAUUCUUGACCUAAUUUAUUUGACUAAAAUGAGGUUUAAAAUCAAUGUAACGGCGGUAGUAUUAACUUUGGUUGUAUAUAAGUUAUUAAUAUUCAAUAAUGUUAGUUUGACAACUAAAAAGAUAUAAAUGAAAUCUCAAUAACAGUUGUAAAAUAUUUAUGCUAAAUUAAACAGGGUGCUUAAAAGAUAUAAAUAUGUAACAUAUAUUUAAUAUUUUUCGUAUAAUUUUUUAAUAUUUAAAAUUUUAAUUUUUAAAAUAUUGCAUUAACUUAAUCUAAUUGAGUUAUAAAAUAUACUCAAAUUGACUCUUAAAAUACACAAAAUGAAAAAUAAUAUACUUACGUCUAAAAAUUAAGUGUUACCUUAGAAAUUAAGGGUAAUGCCAAAUAGCCAGAAUUUGGCCAGAAAUUUUAAAAAAAUUAAAAUAUUUAUUUAUUUAUUAAGAAAUUAUUUUUUUAAUUAAAAGAUAUUAAAGUUAAAAAGGGUAAAAAUGUUCAAAAUGAUAAAAUAUCAUUCUGGCCAAAAUGAUUUUUCCGUUUUAUAAUCUACCUAUUGCAUUUAUUGAAUCUUUAAUGAACGUACAUUUUUCACUAAAAAUAAUAUUUAUUUUGAAAUAAAUAAAUCAUGAGUUAUCUUUUUAGGUGAAACUUUUCGAUAUGAAUUAUCAUUAGAUUUAAUGAGAAUUGGCUUAUGCUUCAUGAAAUUAAAUUUGGUUAGCCGUUAGAUUUUUAUGAGGAUUUUUAGUUCUCUAAUCUUAGUACUACACCUAGAUUUUUUAUUUUUAAAAAAUACUAAGGAGUAAUAUAUCCAACAAUAAAGCAUUGAUUGAUAGCUUUCUCAUCAUUUUUUAGUUGAAGGUAUUUACUAUAUUCUCAAAGUUCCAUCAAACUUUAUUUAAUGCAAUAUAUUAAAUUCAAGAAACUAACUCUAUUUUUCAGGCUUCAAAAUUAACUCCUCUCAUCUAAUUCUUUACCAAAUUCUUCUCUAUUUUUUCCCUCUGUUAUAAUCACACAAUUAAUUCUGCACUUAAUUUCCCUUUCUCCUACACAUUAUAUAAAUCUUGUCAAUCUUUUUCGUUUUCUCCAAACAUCUCCCUUUGCCUAUACUAAAAAAUUCAGGUAAUUUUUUUUUUUCAUGAUUAGACUUUUUCUUUUUUCUUCUUCUUCUAAAAAUGACUUUUUUCUAAUUAUUUUUGCUCUGUUUUACUAUAAAUACAGGGGAUUAUUGUCUUGUUGAUAAAGUUGUUCAAAAUGAACUACAGGAGGGAGAGUAUUCAUGAUCCAAAGCUUGAUUUGAAGCUGAAUUUAUCACCCCCUAGGGAAAAUAAUAAUAUGUUUCCAAUAUUAUCACCAAGCAGAUCAUCGUCUUCGUAUACUUCUUCAAUGGAGAGAUCACCAGCAAGUUCAUGUGUUUCAAGGGAACCAACUCCAGAUCAUCAAGAAUUUUUUGGUAGCCCUGAAGCAACAACAACUUCUAUGAUGUUAGUAGGAUGUCCAAGAUGCUUAAUGUAUGUUAUGUUAUCAGCGGAAGAUCCAAAAUGCCCCAAAUGUAAGAGCUCUGUUUUGCUUGAUUUUUUCCGCGAGGAUCGAAUCAAUAAUCCAAAGAAUUGAUGAGGAUCAUCAUGCGACGAUGGAAUCUUAAUAGUUCAGUUGGUUGACUUUCUGAAUUAUCACUUUUUGAAUUGAACUGGCACCUUAGAUAACCAAUUAGGUUUUAGUAGUAUUUAAUUUCUUUACAUAUGUUGUAAUCCUUUUUGUCUUUUUUUGUUUUUUUUUUGAGAGUUUGUUGAGGUAAUUGAAUGGAUUUGAUGAAAAUCUUGAAUGUAAUCAAAAGAGGCUAGUAUGGUUGAUAUUAUGUUCAUCAUAUUAAUUCAUUCAUGUUUUAGUAGCUCUAAGUUGCUAUCUUUACUAAAUGCAUGCAAUUAAUAUAUUGUUAUAACUAUCUUGUUAUAUUUCGGUUUAAUUAGCCAUACAAUAUUCACAAAUCAUUAACUCGAUUGAUUUAAAUUCGUAUCAAAUAUUAUUACUAUAAAUUAGGCGAAACGCUCCAUAACUCUAAGGUCGAAUUUCUUGUCAUUAAGUGUACAUGCAAGUUACAACACAUGUUAGGUGUUCAUAAUAAUUGCUUGGGAGACCUUUCACAUGGUUUUAGGUGCAAUUCAAAGAAAUUAUGCGAUUCAAAUUAGGUCAAAUUAAAGUAUUCAUUUAGAAGUUUACUCAGUGUUCAAACAUAAAAUUGAAUACGAAUUUGAAGAGGGGAAAAGAAGCAAAGCAUCAUUGACAUUAGCUUACGGUGUUCAUUUGAAAGUUUGAUUAAUUUAAUUUUUUUCAAAAAAAUCUCAUUCUUAAAAAGUAAAAUGUACUAUAUCUAAAGUCAAAUUUAAAAUCUCUAAUAAAAUAAAAAAAAAAUACUAUUCGCUGUGAUCUUUAAUGAUUGAAUGGCCGUCCUCGUGCCAAAAAGGAUCAUCAUUAAUUAGAUUAAAUACUUAUUUAAAAUUUAUGUAAUUUUAGAAUAAAGAUAAAUUACACACAUUCCACAAACGAUAUCAAUUAUCAAAUAUUUCAAAUUUUAACAUUUUAAACAUAAUUUUGAGUGUCACUAGUGGGUUUAUAAAUUAAUUGGGAGAUUAUAACGUAAAAUAUGAGUCAAUUAAUUUUAAUCGAUGAAAGUGACACAAACAGGUUCAUAUAGUUAUCGUAGUCUUAAUUACUUGCGUGGACAAGUUUUAAACUUCAACUUAUAAUUAAUUACCAAUUGUCAAAAGGGCGGCGAAUUUGUGUUUAAUAACAUCUUUAUCAAUUCAUGAACAAUAAACGGUGGGUGAGCUAAUUAGCUACAUUACCAUGUAUUGUCAUUUAAUGUAAAUCUACCAUUUUUGGAUUGUUCACAUGUGACACAUCAAAACUUCCGCAGUUGGAUUUAUUUCCUAAUUUAAUUAUAAGACUUGUAUUUCUUCACCUAUGUAGUUAUCUAUUGUUCUUAUUAGUUGGUUCUUCGUAAAGCUUGUUGAGUCUAAGUUCUUAGGCGUAACUCACACCUCAAAAGCUAAAUCAAAGGGAGGAGGAUUGUCCGAGCCUUAUAACGAGUUCACCCUAUUUCAUUAACCACCGAUGUGAAACUUUUGUCAUUCUUUAACACCCCACCUCACGCCCAGUGCUUAGCAUCUGGUGCGUGGACAAUUUUGAUUUUUGGGGACCCCAACAUCGGGUGAGACGGACCCUGCUCUGGUACCAUGUGAAAUUAGGUCUUACGCCUAACUCAUGCCCUAAAAGCUAGCUCAAAGGAAGAAAGAUUGUUCAAACCUUAUAAGAAUUACACCCAUCUCAUUAAGAUAUAAAUUAACGUAAUUAAUUUAGUUUAACUCGUAAAACACACCCCAAGCAAUGUCUAGCUUUAAUAUUUGUUUAUCUAACUCAAAUAAAAUGAAUAACCAUGGCCUAUCCUUUUAAAUUCGCACGAAUAGCACUAGGUAGUGGAUUAUAAUGACAUCAUUAAAAACAUAGCCGUUUAUUUAAAGUUGAAUUAAUAUUAAUAAAUUCACCUUCAAUUUCUUAAAUAUGAAUCUAACUACUUUGCAUUUAAAUCCUUUUUAAAAUCCUAAAAUAUAUACAUACUUGACUCUUCUUUAAAUAGAGCUCAUAAAACGGCUAUUUUUUCAAGUUGUCCCUUCAACGGCAAGUAUAGCAGCUUAAACUUUUUAAAAGCCCAUUACAGUUCUUAUCACGGCCCAACAAAGAAUACACUAUCCCCAGGGCUUCUUAGUUGGACUUGUAUUAAGUAGACAAAAGGAAAAAUUACUUAGGAUGGUAUUUUUUAAUAAAUAAUUACCGAUUUUAGCGAUAUUUUAUUUUUAUUUUUAUCAUCAUUUAUAGCAAUACUAUGUUAAAUCUGCAAUAUGUAUUAAAAAUGAAUUAUGUAUGCUAUAAAUAUGUAUUAUACCUGUUUUUAAAAAUAUAUUAUGCUUGUCUUCUAAGGAAUUGACACAUUGUAUUAUAAGUAUAUUAAAAUGUGUGAUACAUGUAUUAAUCAUCAAUAAAAUUUAUAUUAUAUGUGAAUAAUAAAUUGUUCUUUGUAAUAUGUAUUAAAAUCAUAUUAUAAAUGUAUUAAAAGUGAUCAAGUUAAAAAAAUAUUAUUGCUAUAAAUGAUAAAUAUUCUCUUAAUAUAUUAUAUUUAUGCAAGUUUCCUUUAGAUAUUAUAUGCAUAUAUUUAUCGGUAAUAGUUAAGUCAAACUAGAUGUUUUUAUGAUUUAAAAAAAAAAGAAACUAAGCGAUAUCGAAAUAUUUGAUCUCUUCAAUUCAAAAUUUUGAAUGCUUCUUGAUUUAAGUGGUAAAUACAUAAAUUGUUAUAACUAACUUACUCAAAAGUGUUUGGAAAAGGAAAAACAACAGCUAUAUGGAUAAUAUAGGGCAACUUUCGCAAAAAAAAAAUCAUAUUUGUAUGCUAAUAGCAAAGUUUGCAUAAUUGUGCUUCAUAGAAAACAUAAAAACUGUAUAAUUCGCUAUACAUAGACAGUUGAAGCAAAUUGUAUAAAACGAAGUGUAUAAAACAAGAAAGAGAAAGACAAUUGGGCAGAGAACUGUAUAAAAUGAAUUAUAUUAUUAUAAAUGUAUAGAAUGAUUAUAUACAAUUUGAAUUUGAAUAAAAUGAGAAAGAGAGAAAGACAAUAAAGACUUGACAAGGAAUAUACUAUUGAAUCGAAUUGUAUAAAACGAGAAAGAGAGAAAUUAGAUACAGUUUGAAAAUUAUAUAAAACGAGAAAGAGAGAAAGACAAAAGAAGUUGGACAGGAGAGUAUUUUUAUUGUAUAGUUAUAAGUGUAUAGGACGAAAAUAUAUGUACUUGCAUGUGUAUAUAUAAUUUUCUCACACUUUAUACAAACGGAAAUGCAAUUUAUACAUUUCUCUUCUGUUUGUAUAAGUGAGAAAGACGAGGGUGGCGAGCGAGAUCUGGAAGAGGGGAGAGAGGGGAACAAAAAUAUAUGUAUUUAUACAAUUUUCUCUGCUUUAUACAAUUAGAAACAAUUUUUAUACACUUGUGUUUGUAUAAAAAGUGAGGAAGUGAGCGAGAGAUUGGAGGUGAGUGGCGAGCGAGAUAUUUGUGAGAGAGGCGUCUGGCAAUUUUUUGCAAACGUUUGCUAUGGAGCACAAUUAAAUCAAACCCUAGCUACUCCAUUUAUAUUAGGUUAUUAGUUUGCUGUUAUACAAUUUUCCCAAUAAUAUAUAAUUAAAGGUGCAAGAUAAAUUAGCCCAUAAAAUAUAAUCCACCCAAAUCGGUUGAUUAUUUAUCCGUACAUUUAUUAAAUUAAUAUUCCCUUUGUCUUUUCGUAUGAUUUUGCUUCGUUCAACCAAUAAAAAAUAAGGAAUGUAACUCAAAUUAAUUGAUGAGAAAUCUUAUUAAAAUAUUUUAAGAUAUUUAUUUUAUUAAAUACGAUAAAGGUAUCAAUAAAAAACUAGACAAUAAAAACCAAUAAAAUUUUUAAAUAGAUUGAAAUAUGAUUCGCAUUUUUUCAACUUAUUUCAACAUAAUUUAUUUUAAUCCAAAUAAUUUACUAAUACAAAUCUAUAUUAAUCCGCUCAAAUUUAACUAAUUGUAACUCAAAUUAAUUGAUGAGAAAUCUUAUUAAAAUAUUUUAAGAUAUUUAUUUUAUUAAAUACGAUAAAGGUAUCAAUAAAAAACUAGACAAUAAAAACCAAUAAAUUUUUUAAAUAGAUUGAAAUAUGAUUCGCAUUUUUUCAACUUAUUUCAACAUAAUUUAUUUUAAUCUAAAUAAUUUACUAAUACAAAUCUAUAUUAAUCCGCUCAAAUUUAACUAAUUGUGAUCACCACUAUCAUAUUGAUGCAAUGCAGCUGGAGGAAGACUUGCGCCUCCUAAAAGCACUAAGAAUUUAAAUUCUAGACUUUAAAACAUGAUUAACAAUUGCAACAACCUAUAAACACUGCAAUUUUUUUUAGAAAAAAUUAUUAUAUCAAAGGAAGCACAAGUCCAAUUUUUUUAAAAAAUGCACAUGGGAAGGGAAGAAGUAGUAAAAGUUGUCAAAAUUGUAUUGGCAACUGUCAAGCAAGUGUCAUGAUUCAUGAACUAUAUUUAUUAUGUUACAAUCAUGUCCUACAAAAGCACACAAAAAGAUUACUGCUUUUAGUGGGCAAAAUAUCAUAUGCCAACCAUAUUAUUAAUUGUUACAAUCAUUCUACAACUAUUACAAGAAAGCCUACAUAAUAUUACUAUUACCGCCCAUUAGAUAUGGAAUUACUUUUAUCGAGGAGUGUUUUGAACUGAUUUAUGCGUGAAAUUGAAACCCAAACGAAAAUGAAUCUGAUGAUGACAUUUAGGCCUAAUUCAACCUAAAAAAUUAGCUCAUGAGGGGAGGAUUGUCCAAAUCUAUCUAAGGAAAUCAACAGUCCAUUCCUCAAUCAAUGUGGGACUUUUACCUACUAUAACGACAAAAGAAAGAGAAAUGUUACAACCAUGAACCAAGAAGUACAACUCUUCUUUAGUCAAAUUCAUCUUAAGCUACUGAGGAUAUAUUCCUUGCAUAAGAUUAACAUACAAUAUCUCAUAAAUAUAAAUGUUGGUUCUUGUUAUAUAUGAUUCACCAUAGAAAAAUAAGUACAUUUAUUUUCAUUAGGCAAGUAAAAAAUUAAACAUUCCUCUUAAUGUUAUCAUCUACUACCCCCAUUGGCCACUAGACCAUAGGCCUCAAAAGGGCAAAUCUUUGAGUGAUUAGCCUCAAUUAUGUAGAGCAAAACUACAAGAAAAAAAAAAGGUCAUUUGCACAUUUGCUGCUUGAAUCCAAACUUUUCAUUUUUGAGAUCAAAUUCAACUAAGUAAUUCUGCAUCUGAAAAUUGCCCAGAAUUAUCGAUGGACCGGUAGAUAAUUCAGGGCCAAAAGCACUAUCUGUAACCAUUGUUAAGCAAAUGACAUCAAUUUCACCUGCAAAUGAGAAGUAAUUUGCUAUUGGCAAUGUCAUCUCUGCACCACCUUUGAAAUGAAACUUUAGCUCUGGUAAAGACACUGUUUCUUGCCUGGAAAUAUUGAAACAUGGCUUCAAACCUGUUAUUAUCUCAAUACUCUCACUUCUUGGAAUACCCUUUACUUGUUUCACAAAUGCAUCAAGUACUGGUUCAAAAACACCGCGAUUCAUGAAUGUGAAAGUCGUGCCUGAAUCCACAAUGCUCCCACCAUUUCCAUUGGAAUCUGGUGUUAAAUACUUGUAUGGGAUCUUCACUUUCUUCCCUCCAACUGUAAUUUUCCUCAAACUAACAUAGUAAUACACUGACAAUGCAUUUUUUUCAGACACCACUGGAAUUUUCAGCAAUGGGGUAUAGCUUAAACCUGCAGUUUUUUCACCACUAGCAUUGAAAUCCAAAACAAGAUUGCUACUUUUACCAGUAUCAUCAAAUUUAUGUGAAACAAGGCAAUAAGAGAACUUCUUGACACCUAAUUGAUUUGGUAAUGAUGCAAGUCCCCGGCCUAAACCAGCAAUUCCAGCAGGCUGUUUUGAUGAAAACAGAGAACAACCAACGAGAAAAUUGGGAACUUUCUUGUUAGAAAGAUCGAGUGUGUCAACAAGAGCAAGACCCCCUGUUGAGCCUGAACCAUAAAGUAUAAUAUAUGGUGGACAGACCUGUUUACAAUUAGUAGGCGAUUCGCAAUCUUGGCAACGAGAUUUUGGAUUAUUGCUAUGAAUCCAACCACAUUUUGGAUUCAAACAACCAACAACUCGUGCGGAGGAUGAAGAUUUGGGAAUGAAGGUAGGAAUGGACUGUGAAGUAGCUGAAGAGACAGAGCAAUUGGUACAUAAGUACCUUGUAGUACAUGGGAACCAAACAAAGCUACUUCCAGUGUCCAUAAUGAAAGGGAUUUUCUGUGGAGGUGUACCAAAGCUAAGAGUAAUGGAGUAGCCUCCAUAGCUUUGAGGAUACAAAGGGGUUGUGGAAACAGGGGAAUCUUGAGAUUUCUUGAUGUAAUUUGCUCUUGCUAAGGAAAUGGAAGCUAAAUGUGUGAGCUUUUCAUAUAAAUCUUGAGAUGGGUGUUUUGUGUUGAAAAGUGAAAGUGGAAUGGUAGAAGUGGUAGAGUUUGAUGAAGAAAUGAAGGAAAAGAGGAGAGAAAGCAAAGAGAAAAACAGAGCAAAAGAGAGUGAAGAAGGCAUUGUGUUAGUUUUUUGGGAAAUGUGCCUUUGGACUCAAAUUAAAUAGCUCAAGUAGCUUUAGUAAGUACAAUAAUAUAGGAGACAAAGCAUCAACAUGAUUGCAGUGGAAUGUCAGUAUUUGAGAUUUUAGGUUUUGAAUUUAUUUUAUGUAAAUUUUUUUUCGUAUUAUUAUGAAUUUAGAUAAAUUUCAAUAUAAAUAUCGAUGAUAGAUCAAAAGAAUAUAAAUUUGGAGCCAGUUUUGCGGCUAACGUGACUCUACUUUCACUGUGACAUAUGAUUCUUGCACUUUAGUGUAGUUAUAAGCAAUAAGUUUCCACAAAGUGUAUAUAAUAAGGGUCGGUGGGAGGACUUUUUGGGCUAAGUUGUUCAAUCUUUAGGUAGUAACCGUUGCACAGUAUUACUUAUUUUUAUCUGUUAUUAGAAGUUUUGAGUUUGAGCUUUAAAUAUUAAGCUAUUAAUAGAAAAGUGUUUUAUUAAUAAAAUUAGAUUUUAAAUAUAUGAAUUAGUGAAAUCAAAAUAGAAGGAGACAUAAACUAAAAUAACGAACAAUUUCCUGACAUAAAUCUAGAAUAGUAAAAUCUAUAUUGAGUGAGAAACCUAAGAAAAGUACAAUAGAAGAAAAGAAGAAACGAAAAAAAUUUACAAAGUGAAAAAUCAAAACUAACAAGAUAAAAUAUUCAUAAAUGAACUACUUAUAUAAUAUCAGUAUAUAUAACUUAAAUUCACUUUUUUUAUUCAUCGAGUAAUUAGGUUGAAUCAAAAGUUCAUUUCUAUUUAUAUUUGGGUAGAAGAUUGGUCAUGAUUCAACCACCCCAUACGAUUGGGUAGAGAGAUGUGAUGAUUCUUGAUCUGAUUAUAAAGUAAUAAUAAGCAUUUGUACUAGUCGAAAAAGGGUAAAUAUUCUUAAAAACUAGGCCUACAUUGCAAUAAGAUAUUUAUAUUAUUUGACAUGAUGUAGGGUACAAUGGCAUCAUUUAUUUGAGAAGUUGCCAAAUAGAAAUCAUCAUGGUUUUCUUCCAUCACUCAACAAUAAUCAUGUUCUUUUAAUAAUAAAGGAUGUUGAAGUUUGUUUAAAGGUAUUUGGUGGGAGAUAGUUGUGAUGUAAAAAAAAAAGUUAUCCUUUUGAAAAAAAUGAAAGAAAUAAUUAAUUUAUACUUAAUUUCUAAUUUAUAUUCUUAGUAGUAUUAUCAACUAUAAUCAUUUAUUAAAAUAGUAAAUUUACUAAUUAGUAUAUUAAAAAGGUGAUAUAUUAAAUUUAUCAUUAUAUCAAUUAAAAACGUCUUAAAUUAAAUAUAGACAAAUAAAAAUGAAAUGAGAAAGUAACGUAAAAAGCCAAAAAUGAUUAUUUUAUAUUCUUGGAAGCUAAAAAGUAACUUUUUCCAUAUAUACUUUGAUAUCUCCAUCAAACACAAAUUUAAUAUAAUUUUUUUAAAAAAAAUUAAUCGAUCAAUUACAAUCAGUCACAUAUUAUAAGCUAAUUUACUAUUUUAACCAAAUCGAUAUAAAUUCCAACCAUAUAACAUGUGAAUCUUCACAUGCAUGGUGUGGAAAAGUUUUAGAUGAAUCGACAUUUCCAUAUUUUGUUAUAUAGUUAAAAAAACAUAUAUAUAGGUCCUAAAGCCACAUAUAACAUAUAUAUUGCUUUGCUAGCUGUAUGAUUGAGAAACCUCUCUUAAUCCUUCUUCAACUAUAUAUUAUAUAGACAGAAAAGCACAAUAAAUACCAAAUGCCAGCAGCGUACAACUCUUUAAAUUAAUCUUAUAGUAUAUAUAACCCUCGUUAAAAUCAUUGAUUAAUAUUUAAUAUCUACCGCUAUUUUAUCUUAAACAUAAUUACGAGCUUCAAUUAAAGAAAAAUCAUAAACUCCAACAAUAUGUUAAUAUAGGGGGCCAGUAGCCUGCUAAAGAAUGAGCAUUGAAUCGUCUUUUCUGGCAUUACCAGACAAAUUGAUACUCCUUUCGUUUUAUUUUAUACGACAACCUUUGAUUUAACGUGAAAUUUAAAAAGGAAAUAAAGCUAUAUAUUUUAAUUGAGCUAAUGAGAAAAGAAAAUAAAAACUAGAAAUCUUCUUAGUAUUGUAGUGAAAAAUUAUUUUUCACCAUACAUGUUAGUUCAAUACUGAAAAAUGAAUGACAAAAUCAUAUUUCAUAUAUAACACAUAUUUCUCAUUGAUUCGUGUUGAAAAAACCCUCAAUUUCUAACAGUGUCGACUCAAUACAAACCACAUUAACAACAUCCAAAAAAAAAAAGCAAUACCUCAAAAAGUGUGAUAUAGACAGCUAAUCUUGUGUAAGCGUUAGUUACUGCCCUAAUGUCACUAAGGGUGAUGUACACAUCCUAGUCUUGAAUUGUUUUUUUUUCUUUUUUUUUUUUUGUAACAUGAGAUUGAAAAGAAAAAUGUAUCACGUAGAUUUACGAUUUUUUAAAAUUAUAAGAGAAAAAAAGAGAACUAGAUUGGACUUUGGAGAGUGGCAAAUAAGUGUAUAUGUAUGUUUAACCAUGUGCCAUGGUGGGGAAAGCAAAGCAAAAAGGGUAGUACAAGAAAAGCUGGAUUCUUCCUGGUUUAGGUUCCUUCAUCAUCUCCACUUAAUCAAUUGAUAUCUAGUCCUUUUGGUCCACACAUGAGAUCGACUAGUACUAGUGGAACUUAUCUUUAUUUAUCAUUAUCUAUCGCUAUUAUGGCAAAUUCAGAAUUUUCAGGAAAUUCAAAAAUAAAAAUAUAGCGCAUAUAUAUAUAGAGUUUGAACUUGGGUUAAAUUUGAAGUUUUUAAAUUAUUGAAUCAUCUAAUUUUGUGUUUAGGAAUUUAAAAUGUUUAAAUAUACGUAAAGAGAUAAAUUAUAUUAUUGUACGUAUACAGUAUAGUGUUUGGGCUGCUGAGUUAAUUGAAAUUUUGGUCCACACAAAAGAGUAGUGGAGCUUGGCUUUAAUUACCAUUAUCAACUACUACUACUAUACCAUCUAACUUAUACGAUUUAUCUGCCAGGAAUUGAAGGAGCCUUAUCUUAAUCAUGUUUUUUUUUUUUAAAAAAAAUAAUUAAAAAUUAUAAGGUUAAACUUUAAAGUAAAAGUUACUGAUGUCAAUAACCUGACAAUAUAUUAAAAGCAAUAAGACUAUUUCCAAAUAGGUAUCACUCUCAUGUCAAAUAAUAGAAAAUUGUAUUACAUUUACAUGCAGAGAGAAUUUAUAUUGAUUUUUCAUAGGUAGAUUGAUUUGAUUAAAUUAAAUUUGCAUCGAGAGCGAAAAGUCUCAUUUUGAAUUAAAAAGAGAAUUUAUAUUUUUUUUAGCGCUCCGCCCCCUCGUAUAGUAAGGGCUAUUUUGGCUACUUUCUCUUAUAAGGUGACUUGACUCAGCUUUAUUUACUUGACUCAACGGCUAGAGUAUCGCUUUCAUACGGUGAGAGUCAUUAUUUCGAAUUCAAUAAUAGGCAAAACCAAUUGAAAAUCCUGAUUUUGCCAACAUGACAACAAACACGGUGUGACAGCAAAUAGUCAAUUUAGUGAUCAAAGCAUCAAUUGCUUCCACCUGUGUCCUUCUUCAACCGCCUUGACACCUUAAGGAUGAGAGGCUCUAUACUUGUCGUCCAUCACAACGUUUUGAUGGUGCAAUUAGUAUUGCAACAAAAUGGAUAUUUAGCGGUAAUGAUUUUUUAGAGACAAUUGAUAAAGAAAAUUAAUGUCAUCGCAUUUGGAAUCACUAAAGUUUUUAACAACAAUUAUAUAUAGUGUUAAUUAUAAAAAUUCAUAUUUAUUAUAUAAAAAUAUAACGGUAAUUAUUUUAUGAUGCUUGGUAGUGAAUAUAGAGACUUAAAUAUAAGCUCCUUUUUAUCCUUUUAGUUUAUUCUAUGUUGUGCCUUUUGCACUGGUUAAGCUUACUUUUCAAGCCAAUUGCAUGUUAUCUAAUUAAUUCAUUUUCACCUCAUUUACUGCAGAUAACUUUUAUAAAAUAUACAGAUAUUUUUAAGACAAACAAAAACCAUUAUGCUUUAUAUAAUUCUUAUUUAUAUUAUUAUAUAUUCAUAUAGAUUUGUUACCUUAUUAGAAUUGAUAUGAUAAAGUUUAUAGAGCUCUUUUUAUUAAAAUUAAUUCAAAUUGAGAUUUUUAAUUUAUUACUAUAAAUUAAAGUACGAUAGAAAUUUUUUCUAGUAGUAUAAAUUAAUAAUUUAAAAAAAGAAGAGGUUUGUGACAUUGGACUAAAGCAUAUAUUCUUAGUAAAGGUAGUAAGUUUUACCAACUUUAGACUAAAGCUAGAAUAUAUUCUUAAUAAAAUGAUAUUUCGAAAUUUCCUUAUGUAUACAAAUGGAACACAACAAUAAUUAAAAGAUCAUUAUUGGGAAACUCUGUAGAUUGAAAAUGUAAACAUCAAGUUUCCAGCUGCGGUUCAACAAGAAAUUUCUGGCAUUAAUUAAGUUUUUGACUUCAAAAACUAUAUGUGACGAAAAAAUUAUUCAAUAUUCCAUCCGUUUCAUUUUAUAUGUUAUUUUUUUACUUUGCACAUUAAGAAAAUGAGGUAAUUUUACCUUUCUACGCUUAUUAAGUAUUUUCUUAAAUUAACUUUAUAAUAAAUGAUAAAUACAUUUUCAAGAUUGAUUAAUUAAUUACUCUAUCAAGAUUCAAGGGUAUAAUAAAUAAAAUAUGAUAAUUUAUGCAUAAAUUUUAUAAAAUAACAAAUUUUUUGAUUCAACUAUUUAUAAAAAAAUGAUGAAAUUUAAAAUGAGACGGAGAAAGUAUUUCAAUUGACAAUUGCAUAAAUUUCAGUCUUACCAAAUAAGUCGUAUGUAUAUUCUUAUUUAGGUUAUGAAGUACAUUUUGGAACGUUUAAUCAUUAUUACAAAUAUUUUUUCCAUUUAUCACAAAUAUAAUAUUCCUUUCGUACUAUUUUAUUCGAACUCUUUCAUUUUCGGCUUAUUUUAUAAUAAAGAAUAACACUAAUUUUUAUGUAUAUAUAUUUUGACUUUCAUUUCAACAAGUUUUUUCAGCACUCCAAUUGACCUAAUAUGUUCAAAAUCAUAGAAUUCUAAAAGUAAUUUCAUAAUAUUUUCUUGUUAUAUAUUUAACUCGCAUGUCAAAAGUUUUUCUUUUCUCAAAUCAAAUAAAUAAAAUUUAUAGUAGUACAUUUUGUGUAUUAACAUUAGAAUUCAAACUCCACCCAUUUUUCAUUUCAUGUAGCUUUGAACUGUCAGAAAUCACAAUUCAAAAUUUAGUUUUGUAUGGAGUUUGAAUUGCGACAUCCAAUGCACCAAAAAGAACUUCAGGAUAAAUCCCCCUAAAUGUUCAAAUUUAAUAAAAAUUCGUGGAUUUUUUCCCCAUACUUUAGCAUUCAGAUUUUAUUUUCUGCAUUAGAAAUGAUGAAACAUUGAAUAAAAAAAUUAACUAAAGAUUGAUAUACAAAAAUUAAAAACUAUAUAAAAAGUAUUAUAAAUUGUAAUUUUUUCAUAUAUAAAUAUAUCUAAAAAUAUUAGUUAAAAUUCAUAUUAUUUGAUUCUUAAAAAAUAAAUUUAUUUACGACUAAAAAGGAACGGAGGGAGUAUGAAAAAUGGUUGAAUGGGGCUACAUUAUAAAUUAGUUAUAUAUUUUGGUUUAAUUAUUAGAAAUGAUGUAAUAGUUCAAAUGGGCUAGUUUUUAAACAUGUCCAGCCCAUUUAUAGACAAAAUUGUUUUUUGUCGUGUUACUAGCGUUUUGGGCUGUAUUGGAGUUAGGUGUAAAUGUGGAGCUUCUACGCGCCAAAUAGUAACCCCACUUCAACGGUGUUCUCUCUUAGGCGCCAAUUUCCCUUUUAAUUUAUUCUUUUCUUUUUUUUUUUUAAUUGGGAAAAGGUAGGAGUGACUUCGAUAGAAAUUAAGAAGCAAUAAAUGAGCUCGGGAUGAUUUAAACAUGUGUGGAGAAGAUGUACGGAUACCUCAUUACGACAGAGUCGUAUUGAGGAUUUUUUAAAAUGGGCGUACUAUUGUUACACUUGAGGUAUAAAUUUGGCCGGUUUGAUCUUUACGUUCUUAAUAUUGAAAUAGCUCCAACAUAUGUAGUAUACUUCUUGUCUUAAAUAUUAAUAUACACAUGUGAUUUAGUUAUAUAAAAAUUAUGUCAUGCUAUUCCUUUUUAAGGAAUUUCCAUACACACUUGAAAAUUUUGAAAAAUUAAAGAAAAAAAAAAUGAUUAAAACGCUAGAAGUGUUAUCCAUAACCAAUUGGAGGGCUAUUAUUAACAAAAAUAAGACAACUAUAAAGUUCAAAUUUUAUCUUUGGCUUGAGAGAUGCACACAAUCAUUAUCGUAUUAUUAUAUGUUAUUUUUAACAUGAUUUCGCACCUUUAUAUUUAAAGAAUUUUUUUAAAAAAAUAACAGAACUAUAUAUAAUCUAAAGAGUGAAGCAUUGAUUCACGUGAAACCGCAAAACUCCCUCUAAAUACGCCAAUGCAUUGUGGAGGUGUGAGAGGUUUAUUGUGGAUGAACUAAGAAAAGCUAGAUGAGAUCGAAUAAGUAUGAGAGAGGGGUAAUUAAACUAAAUGACACAAUUUCAACUUAUUAAAGAGAUGAGCUUAAUUAGAAAGUAUGAAGGACACAAAUUACAAGAUAGGAGGUAAGUUAGAUAGUUGAGCAUCGUUUCACUUGUUCUUCUAUACUAUUAGUCGUGGUAACUCUUGUAGGCUCUUGUCCUUUGAGUUUAAUUAAUAUCUAUGACUUUUUUACACUCUUAUUAUUGACUUGUCUUAUUAUGACUAUUGCUUAGGAUAAUUUAAUAGGUUAGCUAUACUUUUUUGUUAGAACUUUCUCCAUUUUUUCAUUUUUUUUAUAUUGCUUUGGUCGAUUUAUAUUUUCCUCAAGAAUAGUGUCUAUCAGAAACGAGUUCUUUACCUCCAAUAUAAUGAUAAGAUCGAUCGACUCUCUGAAAUUACACGAGAUAUGUUAUUUUUAUUUACAAAUUUAAUACAACUUCUCCACUCUCAAUCUUGGUACCAUUAUUACUAUUUUGGGGAGUUUAAUCACAAAAUCAUCAAUAAUUUUCUAACUUUUUAAGACUAAUGAUGAGUUGAGUUUAAUUAAAUCCCAUAAUUAAUUCUUCUUUAAAUUACCAUGUAAGUACUUGUGCUUCCCUCCAUAUACAUAUCUGAACCUUUUUGUUUCUUUGUUCCUUUCCUUUCCCUCGUUUUCUCCCCUUUCUCUCUCCGCUUAACUCAGAUCUCAUCUUCUUCCCUUUUCCCUCUGAAGAAACCCUUCAAAACCCAAGAAUUUUAGCCAAGAGGGGUUUCCAAUUCAAUUUAUUCUUGAAUUUCGUUUUCCCUCUUCUUCUUCAAUUGAAAAUAAGAAAAAAAAAUUGGGAUUUUUCUCAGCUGGGUGUGCUGGGAAAGAAGUUUAGUAAGAUCAUGCAGCCAAAUCAACAGCGGCCUUCGAAGCGUCAGCUCCCAUUUACGUCGAGUAAACCGCCGUUAGGGGACUACCACCGGUUCUCUACUGACCCACUUCAUCCUUCUUCUCAAGAGCUCGAAGGAAUCGCUGUAAAGUCUACUGUAAGUGUUCUGAUUUUUCCACACUACUGUGGGUCUUUUUUGUGAUGCAUAAUUUUUUCAUUCGAGUGAAUUGGACAAAUUUUUUAAAAUUUUAAUCUGCUGUAUGAUUUUUGCAAUAGCGAAGGGAAGUAACUGUAUUAAACUAGUGUGUGGAAAUUUUCACAAUUGUAUACAUCUGUAAUAGGGGAAUUUGGUGGAACUUCUUUCUUUUGCUCUAAGAGAACUUACAUGUCUAGCAUGCUAUCCUUCUUGAUUUAGCCUGUACUCUUUAUUAAUUUUGUUGUGAAUUCUGAACUUUGUGCCCUUUGAUUUCAGAAUUAUUUGAUCAUUGGGUCUUAUGAAUGUCAUGAUUUCCAUAAGUUGGAGAUACUAUUUUGAAAUCGAUUUAUAAAGUUGUAUUUUUGGGUACUUUUAUAACAACAACAUACUAGUGCAAUCUCACAAGUAGGGAAUGAGAAUGUAGGAUGUAUGCGAACACCCCUACCUUUUUGGGUAGAGAGUCGAUUUUUGGUAGACACUCGGCUCAAAAGUAGUUUAAUCAAAGCAAGAUUGUAAGAUAUAACAGAAAGAUGCAAAGCAAAUGAAGCAACAUGAAGUAGUAAAAAUUGAAGAAUAAGAUAUGAUGUGAAUAUUAACUAAUACUACUAAAAUAAUGAAAUGAUGAGAAAAGGAGACUAGCUUCUCCCACAUAAAAGUACGACAACACUCGGCUACCCGUUACCUUUCUACCCUAAUCCUUAACCUCUAAACCUUCCUAUACAAUGUUAUGCUCUUAGUAAGCUGAAGAUCAGCCACGUCUUGUCUAAUCACCUCCUCCGAUUCUUUUUUGGCCUGCCUCGACCUCUCCUAAAGCCUGUUAUAGCCAACCUGUCGCCCUUCCUUACUAGUACAUUUGCACAACGCCUUUUCACAUGCCCGAACCAUCUCAGUCUCACUUCCCUCAUCUUGUCCACCAUGGAGGGCAUAACCACCUUAGCUUGUAGAACUUUGUUCCUAAUCCUAUCUCACCUCCCAUUGUUAGGAUCGAAAAUAAGCAGGUGUAAAUGCGGAAGCUAGCAAAGCAAACCUCAAAAGACCACGAGUAAGAAGACAACGAGAAAUAUACCAAAAGACACAAAGAUUUAACGUGGUUCGGUCAUUCGACCUACGUUCACAAAGGAGAUGAGUAAUCCACUAUAAAUAUGAGAAUACAAGAUACAGAGAGAAACAACUUCAACCAAUUCACUCAGAAUACAUGGAGGUUCACACAAGUGAUAACGUAUUAAGCUUGUGACCCACAAAUUCUCCCCCUAACCAAAACUCUCAAAGCCCUUAAGACUACAUUGUGAAUGCUGAUUAAGUUAGAAGGAACAUAUCUCUAUUUAUAGAGUCCUAAACCUUUUCCUACCAGAAAAAGGAUUAGUCAAUCCAAAACCUUUUCUUAAAAGGAAAACCUAUUUAUGGUCAGAAAUUUAGGGCAAAUAAAACUCAACACCUAUGCCUACACAUCCACCUGAGUAUUCUCAUCUUUCCCACCUUCAUCUUUCUAACGUGCACGUAAUUGACUGGCCAAAAUUGUAUUUUCAACUACUAACCUACCUAGAUUGAUGUUAUGUUUCUUAAAUUUUGUGCCACCUUUACUUCUUGAUAGUGUGAAAUUAUGAAAGAAAAACAUGCAGCAGUAUUCAUCUUUCAACUGAAAAGGAGAUUAUAUCUUCAUAAUUAAGAAGGGGAAAGUAGAGGGGACUAGGUCAUUUGUUUAGGUUGUUCAAGAUCUGAAGCAUAAUGGAAGAGGGCUGUGAGAUUGUGAAUGAAGCUGCUCUGUACUAAAUUCUCUGUCACAAGAAUAACAGUUGCAUUAGUUGUCUUUUAUCUUUCUAUCUUAAUUUUCUUUUGUCAUAUAAAUGCACUGCAAUUGCAGUGAUCUUGUGCGAUAUUCUUUACAUGAUGUUGAAAUACUAGUAUGGCUGAAGUGUUAUCGCUUCGGACCAAUAUUAACAAAUGAAGGACCUAGAUAAGGUAGGUUUAGCAUUAGUAGCCAAAAGAGAGAAAUCGACAAGAAAAAUCAGCAGUUUUGAGGAAUCUUUACAGUAGUAGCAUAUUACAAGGCCUUGAGCUUGUGGGGUUUUAUUGUUAUGGAUCUUUUAAUGCUGCUACUGUAGACAGGUUUAUUCUGUUAUGUUAUUGAAGUAAGUCCUUUAUAAGAUUGAGGGUAAAAUUGGAUGGUUAGAUUUGUAAUAUUGAUUGAUCAUAUGACUCAGCUUGUGUAGUAUAGUGGCAGAUGCAUGCAGUUCUUGUGUGCAUCACAAAUUGAGAAAGAAAAUAGAGGAAGCAAUAGAGGAAAUAAAGGCAUAUUAACUAAUGAGCUGCAAUUUCUAGUUUUCCUUACUGUGAGAUAAGCAACUGGUUGCUUCUGGUGAAGCACGUUUGCUACUACAUGGAGAUUCAGUAUACUAGUCCUGAGCUGUUUCUCAUGCCUAGAGAGGCGAAAACAGUGUCUGUUAGGCUGAAGUCAAAUCAUGUCAUAGGUGGCAAUAGAUACUGCAAAGGACUAAGCCACUAUUUUCAUGUCGGAUGUGGUCUACUCUACCACUAACUGCCGGUCACAUGCACAACUGAUGUGGGACUUAACAUGCUGCUAAUAUUAAGUCUUUAUUAUGUUCUUUCUACAAAAUCCUCACUAGAUAUUAUAAUGAUACGACAUUACUUUGUUUUUUUUUUUAAAUGCUUGAGCAGUUUAUAUUAUCUACUUCACUUCAGACACAAUGCUUGUUAAUGAUUUUAAAAUUUAUUGCUGAUAAAAACUUGGGGAUACUCAAUUGUCUUGAUUAGCCACUAAAGCGGAAGAGUGGAACAAUAAAUUACGAACAGGGAGUUGGUGCACAGGUUUCAGGUUGUGAAAGUGUCUAUGUGAGUAGUCCAAUGCUGACACCAAUCUCAGGGAAAGCUGGAAAGUCACAGAAAGAACCUAGGGCAUCAAAGGCCAGAUCUGCUGCUCAAGCAACCUCAAGUUUAGGUAAAGACAUCCUACACGAAUUUGUCAGCAUUAGUUUAUGCAUCUCACGUUGUCAAAUAUAAGAAUCACCAUUUAUCUUACUCAAUUUGACAGAUUAGCGGUUUGGAUAACUAUAAUCUUUGUUGUGUCACCCCAUCUUAUUGUUGUUUUCCAUUUUCUCUUGAGGCACCCACCGUUUUAUAGAACACAGAGAAUUAUAGAAGAGAUAACUUCUUAAAUAUUUCAAAUUACAGGAUCCCCUUCAGGCAAUAAUGUUACUCCAGUUGGUCCUUGCCGCUAUGACAACUCCUUAGGUAAAUUAAAACUUUUAUGACUUCCGGUUACAAAUUUGUGUCUUUUAAUCUGCCUGUCCAUUGGGGUAAGAGCAUAGGUGGAGGUUGCAUUUCUGGGCUUGUGCAUUUGUAUGUUUAAAUUAGACAUUUUUCUAGAAUAUAUAUAUAUAUAUAUAUAUCAAAAUUAGUAACUAUGACUUCCUCUUUUGAUUCUAAUUCAGGUCUCUUAACAAAGAAGUUCAUUAACCUGCUCAAACAUGCAAAAGAUGGCAUUCUAGAUUUGAACAAGGCUGCUGAUACAUUAGAGGUAUCUUCUCUUUGCAGUAUAUACGGCAUAAGCCUGUAUGAUAAAUUUCUAUCAACUUACAGAUCUCUUCCCUUUAACAGGUGCAGAAAAGGCGUAUAUAUGACAUUACAAAUGUCCUGGAAGGAAUUGGUCUGAUAGAAAAGAAACUCAAAAACAUGAUCCAAUGGAAGUAUGGAAAUGCUUAUCCAAUAAAUAUAUUACAUUGAAGUUGUUUAUCAUUUACGUUCCACAUUAUUCAAGAUCAUUCAAUACACAAAAGUUACGACUCAGUUCUCUUAUUACAUAGGGGGUUAGAUGUCUCAAGACCAGGGGAAGUUGAUGAGAGUGUUACGAGUUUACAGGUUUGAAGAACUAUCUCAAUGCCUGUCUUUUUUCUUAUUUUGUUAAUUGUCAAUUGGCCCUGUCAUAAUCUGCCAAGUAGCCUGAGCAAAAGGAUUUCAAUAAUUGGUUUGUGCUGUCUUUACAGGCAGGAGUAGAAAAUUUGACGAUAGAAGAAAGUAGAUUAGAUGAACAGAUAAGGUUAUCUUCUGAUGCCUCUGAACAUAAUUCAAGAUUUCUUUGCUUCAACAUAAUGCUGACUGUGUUAAAUUUGCUCGUCUCAGAAAAAUGAAAGAAAGGUUGAGGGACCUGAGUGGAGAUGAAAAUAAUAAAAGGUACCACAUUCUUUGGCUUAAUCAUAAACCAAGUUAUUUGUGUUAUAUUUUUGUUGUGAAUGAAUCUAUCUGCUCACUUUUCCUUCGUAUUCUUGACAACUGAUCUCUUCUGAAUUUUUUUUUUUAAAAGAUGGCUUUUUGUAACUGAAGAUGAUAUAAAGAGCUUACCUUGUCUUCAGGUAAUUUUAAAACAUGCUUUUUGUUUUUUUCCUCUCAUUUCUUUGUAAUGCAGUUUCCAUCAAAUGACUAAUGCUGUGAUUUCAAUUUAUUGCUCUCAUCAGAAUGACACACUGAUAGCUAUUAAAGCUCCACAUGGCACCAGUUUAGAAGUUCCAGAUCCUGACGAGGUAACUGCUGUCUCUUUAGUACAAUUACCUUUUCUUUAUUAUUCUAACAAGUCUAUCUCAGCAAAAUUUAAGUGGCAGUUCUAUGUGUCUUAGCAUGUCUUCCUUGUUUCCAAUAGGCUGUUGAUUAUCCAGAAAGAAGAUAUAGAAUAGUGUUUCGCAGCACCAUGGGACCAAUUGAUGUUUACCUUGUCAGGUACUUAUUUACUUACUUACUUCAACUACCUAUGAAAUUGAAAAGAUUAAUAUGUUUCUAGAGGGAUGAAGUGUUUAAUAGCUUUGCAUUUUUUUAGGGCAAGAUAAACUUAGUUGAUUUUAGGAUGGUGUGUUUAAACAAUCUUUGUCUAAUUCUUUGUUUAGUAAAUUCGAGGAAAAGUUCGAAGAGAUAAAUACUGUUGAGGAACCAUCCACAAUGCCUUCAACAUCAGGUUUCAUUGAGAAUGAAACUGCAACAUUGCCUGUUGAUGAUGGCGGAGGAGUUGGUGUUGGGGUGUUGGAACAAGAAAAUCAAAGAGAGUGUCCAGAUGCUGGUACUUCCCAGGACUUUGUGAGUGGAAUUACGAAGAUUAUUCCUGAUGUUGAUGUAAGCUCUUAUUUUCAAGCCUUUAUAAAAUUGAAUGAUUAGAGUGUUUUAGAAGCAAAAAAUGAGGGAAAAGAGACUACUUCAGCGUAGUGCAUUUUAUCAUAAAUAAGUAGGUAUUUCAUAGAAACUUCCAAUGCAGUUUGGUUUUUUCAGUUACUUAUUUUUUCUUCGGUCCUGCAGAAUGAAGCAGAUUACUGGCUGUUGUCAGAUGCCGAUGUUAGUAUCACUGACAUGUGGACAGAAUGUAUCCUACUAAUUCCAUUCCGUUAUUUUUUAUUUCUUGCUAUCAAUGAAAUUUAUCCCUAGAAUAUCGAAUCCAUGACUCAAAGUUAGCUGCUCUUAACUGGAACGCUUUGGAUGCAAUUAAUGAGGAUUAUUCAAUUGCGGAUGUUAGUACUCCACGUGCCCAAACUCCCCCAUCCAGUACCAUUGAAGUACCUUCUGGGAAAUCUACUGGAAGCUGAGUAAUAUUUCCUGGCAUUUCUGUGGAUGCUCAGGCUUAGUUUUCGGAGUAGUGCUUGACCUUGGUGUUCAAAAUGAUAAAUUCUCCAUUAGCAAAUCUGUAUAAUAAAAGUUCUACAUUGAAUUAAUUCAUACUCUGUAUAGCCCCUUGAAUGACCUAAACGUAAGAACAAGUGCUUCCAGGAGCUUUUUGUAAAAUGCUCUGUCAGGAAGUUGGCAGUUUGAGUCCCAAGGAAAUGAGCUCCAUUGUACAGUUAGUAUAUAUAUCAUUGUACUUGUAGUGGCAAUAAUCAGAUGGUUAAACUGCUGUCAAAAUUUCUGUGUAUUGUUUAAUAUCUUGUUCUCUAUGGUUUUAGCUUUGAAAUCUGAUACUGAUGUAAAGUAAAUUUGAUUUAGUACACUGCUGUGCUGUAGUGGUGGCUUGUUUGUCCCACUUAAAUUCAGUACAAUUUGUCCAUUCACAUACUAACUAAUGAGCUGCAAUGUUCUAUUACAUUAUCUCGCCUUACUGGGAGAUUAGAAAGUGGUUGCUUCUGGCGAAGCGAAUGUGGUCUACUCCACCAAUAACUGGUCAAAUACCAAAUGCAUAUAAGGAGAAUUGAUCAUCCCAACUCCAUAUAAGGAUUCCAUAAUUUCCUUAUCCCACUGAUGUGGGACUUAGCAUGCUGCUAAUAUCAAGUGUUUAUUAUGUUAUAUCUACAAAAUCCUCGUUAGAUCUUUUGGUGAUUCGACAUGACUUUGUUUAUUUAAAUGCUGAUCAAUGUAGUUGAGCAGUUUAUAGUAUCUACUUAUCUUCACAUUCUUGUUUUAAAGAUUUUUAAAUUUAUUGCUGAUAAGAACUUGGGGAUACUCAAUUGUCUUGAUUAGCCACUGAAACGGAAGAGUGAAACAGCAAAUUAUGAACAGGGAGUUGGUGCACAGAUUGCAGGUUGUGGAAAUGCCAAUGUGAGUAGUUCAAUGCAGACACCAAUCUCAGGGAAAGCUGGAAAGUCACAGAAAGCACCUAAAUCUUCUGCUCAAGCAACCUCAAGUUUAGGUAAGGAUAUCCUACAAGAAGUUUUGUCAGCAUUAGUUUAUGCAUCUCAUAUCAUCACUAUAAGAUUCACCAUUUUAUCUUACUCAAUUUGACAGAUCAGCGGUUUGGAUAAUCUUUACUGUGUCACCCAUCUUAUCGUUUUUCAUUUUCUCAGAGGCACCCACCAUUUUAUUGAACACAUUUUAUUACAGAAAGAGUCAACUUCUUAAAUAUUUCAAAUUACAGGAUCCCAUUCAGGCAAUAAUGUUACUCCAGUAGGUCCUUGCUGCUAUGACAACUCCUUGGGUAAAAUUUGUAUGACUUUCAGUUACUACUUUGUGUCUUUUAUUCUCUCUGUCCUUGGGCUAUGAAAUAGGUGGAGGUUGCACUUCUGUGCUUGUGCAAUUGUAUGUUAUAGGACAUUUUUCUUGAAUUACUUGUUGUACUGGAUAAUAUAAACCAGAAUUAGUAACUAUGGCUUCCUCUCUUGAUUCUCAUUCAGGUUUCUUAACGAAGAAGUUCAUUAACCUGAUCAAACAUUCUGAAGAUGGAGUUCUAGAUCUGAACAAGGCUGCUGAUACAUUAGAGGUUUCUUCAUUACGCAGUAGAUACUACAUAAGCCGGUAUGAUGAAAUUCUAUCAGCUUACUACAGAUUUCCUCUUUUUAACAGGUGAAGAAAAGGCGUCUAUAUGACGUCACAAGCGUCCUGGAAGGCAUUGGUCUGAUAGAAAAGAAAUCCCUAAACAUGAUACAAUGGGAGUAUGGAAAUGCUUAUACAAUAAACUUUUUACAUUGAAGUUUGUCAUUUAAGUUCCAUUUUGUUCAAGAUUAUUCGAUAAAAAAAAGUUACGACUCAAUUCUCUUAUUACAUAGGGGGUUAGAUGUCUCAAGACCAGGGGAUGUUGAUGAGAGUGUUACAAGUUUACAGGUUUGAAGACCUAUCUCAUUGCCUGUCUUUUUCUUAUUCUCUUAAUUGCCAAUUGGCCCUUUUCUAAUCUAUCAAGUAGCCUGAGCAAAAAAGGGUUUCAAUAAUUGGUUUGUGCUUCCUUUACAGGCAGAAGUAGAAAAUUUGACGAUUGAAGAAAGUAUAUUAGAUGAGCAGAUAAGGUUAUCUUCUGAUGCCUCUGAUAAAAUAUUCAAUAUUUCCUUGCUUCAACAUUAUGCUGAUACUGUGUUAAAUUGGCUUGUCUCAGAGAAAAGCAAGAAAGGUUGAGGGUCCUGAGUGAAGAUGAAAAUAAUCAAAGGUACCACAUUCUUUGUCUUAAUGAUGAACCGAGUUGUUUGUUAGUUUAUUUACCUGGCACUUUUUUGCCAAUGUAAACAGUGUGGAUAACCUUUCGGAUUUUGUUAGUUCCCUAUCUCUAGUACAGUAGAGUAGUAGGGUUCCCUAUUGACUGUUUCACAAGUUUUUGCCUAGCUAGCUCCAUAUUUUCUGUUUGGAGCAGCUUUUUUGCACAAUGUGCUUUUGUAACUUCGCAUCUUGAUGCUUUCUAAUAUCAUUUAAUUACUUUAUCAAAAAAAAAUUAUGAACCCAGUUGUUUGUUGUUAAUGGAUCUAUCUGCUCACUUUUCCUUUCACAUUCUUGACUACUGAUCUCUUCUAAAUUUUCUUUUUAAAAGAUGGCUUUUUGUAACUGAAGAUGAUAUAAAGAGCUUACCUUGUCUUCAGGUAAUUUUGAAACAGAUGCUUUUUUUUUUUUUUUGAUUUCUUUGUAAUGCAAUUUUCAUCAAAUGACUAAUGCUCUGAUUUCAAUUUAUUGCUCUCAUCAGAAUUACACACUGAUAGCUAUUAGAUUUCUACAUGGCACUAGUUUAGAAGUUCCAGAUCCUAACGAGGUAAAUGCUUACUUUUUAGUACCAAAUCCUUUUCUUUAUCAUUGUAACAAGUUUACCAGUUCUUUAACUGGUAUCUCAGUAAAAUUUAGUAAAAAUUUAAGGAAUCCCAUAGUGUAAUUCAAUAAUUACAUUUUGUCCCGAUAAAAUUAGUAUUUACAAAAAAUCCCUUAAAUUUGUUGUUUCGUGAUACUUUAGACUCUAGUGAUACAUGGUAAAUGAUACAUGGUAAGUUUAAACUGUUGAGAAAAAAAUUGAGAAAAAACGGUACAAUUAAUGUUGUUACUAAAACAACUUAAUUUAAGGUAACAGAUCAUUAAUCACCAUAAAAUCAGCACGUAAUUGGAUAACAUUCUCCCCUAUGUAUAAGGUAACAUAUCAUUAAACAUUUGGAUAAUAUUCUCCCCUAUAUAUUUUUCAAAGUCCUUUAGGAAAUUGUUGUUAAAAUUGUCAGCAAACCUUAUGAGAUGUGUUGAUAUCUUUUUAAUCUUGUACUUCAGUGGCUGCAAUUUGAAAAUAAAACAACAAAUUAUAAUGAUAUUGAAAUAUAAAUACUAAAUAAAACAACUAAUAACUUACUGAUACAUGGUUUCAGUUUUCAGAAAUUCAUACUACAUGAAAAACAUGUGAUACAUGUCUACUACAUGUAUCAGUGAAUUAACUAAAACAUUAUAACAUGUGAUACAUAUCUAAUACAUGUAUCAGAAACAUCGCCUAAACAAUAUACACAUUGAUUCUAUAUGUAUCAUCAAGUACAGUGGAUGAAACAUUUAUUAAACUUAGUGAAUGAUACAUUAUAACAAUUUUCAAAACAUGUAUCAGUUCAUCUGCUUGCCUCCAAGAACAAGAAGAUUACCAAAUUCAUCUGCUUUUUGAUUGUUCGUUUAAUCUUUCCUCUGAUUGGAAUUUGUUUCUUCGGUAACUGAACUUGGGGGUUUAGGGUUUUUAUUUUUGGGAGUUGUUAAGCAUGUGGGUUUACGUUGAAGUUGCAAUGGCGGAGUAAGUAAUCUUUAAGAGAAGGAAGAUGAUUAUGGAAAAAAAAAAGAACUGAAACUUGAUGGAGUAAGAACAAAACGGGAGAAGUUAAGAGAAGUUGUUCUGAUUUUUGAAAUUUCAAAAUUUUUGAAUUUUGAAAUUCAAAAUUUCAAAAUUGGGUCUUUUAUUUAAAAUUAAUUAAAAUUAAUAAUUCAAAAUCAAAAAACUGAUUUAAAAGGUUGAGUGUUUAAAUGGAGAAAAUUCAAAAUCCAAAAACUGAUUUAAAAGAACAAAACGGGAGAAGUUAAGAGAAGUUGUUCUGAUUUUUGAAAUUUCAAAAUUUUUGAAUUUUGAAAUUCAAAAUUUCAAAAUUGGGUCUUUUAUUUAAAAUUAAUUAAAAUUAAUAAUUCAAAAUCAAAAAACUAAUUUAAAAGGUUGAGUGUUUAAAUGGAGAAAAUUCAAAAUCCAAAAACUGAUUUAAAAGGUUGAGUGUUUUAAUCGAGAAAAAAUAGGCAUUAAAAUGGAUAAUUGUGUAUUAUAGGAGAGAGAAUGUAAUGUAUCUAUAAACUUACACUAAAAUUAAAAAAAAGAGAAUUAUGUAAUAUUUAAAAAAAGAAGGGAAAAUUAGAGAAUAUAAAACUUAUAGUUGUGUAUUUAAGUUAUUUUUCCUAAAAUGUAAGAAACAGUUUUAUGUGUCUUAGCAUGUCUUCUUUGUUUCUAAUAGGCUGUUGAUUAUCCACAAAGAAGAUACAGUAUAGUGAUUCGCAGCACCAUGGGACCAAUUGAUGUUUACCUAAUCAGGUACUUAUCUUUCUUCAACUACUAUGAAACUGAAAAGAUUAAUAUGUUGCUAGAGAGGAUGGAGUAUUUAAUAGCUUUGCAUUUUUUAAGGGCAAGAUAAACUUAAUCGAUUGAAGGAUGGAUUGUUUAAACAAUCUUUAUCUAAUUCUUUGUUUAGUAAAUUCGAGGAGAAGUUCAAACAGAUAACUACUGUUGAGGAACCCUCAACCAUGCCUUCAACAUCAGGAUUCAUUGAGAAAGAAACUGCAGCAUUGCCUGUUGAUGAUGGCAGAGGAGUUGGUGUCGCGAUGGAAGAACAAGAAAACCAAAGGGAGUGUCCAGAUGCUGGUACUUCCCAGAACCCUGUGAGUGGAAUUAUAAAGAUAGUUCCCGAUUUUGAUGUAAGUUUUUAUUUUCAAGCCUUCAAGAAACUGAAUAAUUGUUGACUGUUUUUCGAAGAAAAGAAUGAGGAAGAAGAGACUAAUUCAACAUAGUGCUUUUCAUAGAAACAUCCAAUGCAGUUCUUUUUUCUUUCAGUUAAUUUUUUUCUUCAGCCCUGCAGAAUCAAGAAGAAGAUUACUUGUUUUUGUCAGAUGCCAAUGUUAGUAACACUGACAUGUGGACAGAGUGUAUCCUACUAGUCUUGUUCGGUUUUUCUUUACUUGUUGCUACCGAUGAAAGUUAUCCCUUGAAUAUAGAAUCCAUGACUCAAAGUUAGCUGUUCGUGAUGCGUUGGACUCAAUUUAUGAGGAUUAUUCAAUUGCAGAUGUUAGUAGUCCACAUGCCCAAACACCCCUCUCCAGUACCACUGAGCUAACUUCUGCAAAUACUACUGAAGCUGAGUAAUAUUUCCUGGCAUUUCUGUGUAUACUCGGGCUUUGUUUUCGUUGCAGUAGUUGAGCUUGAUGUUCAAAAUGAUAAAUUCUCCAGCAGCAAAUCUGUAUAAUAGUAGUUCUACAUUGAUUUGAUUCAUCCUCUGUAUAGUCCCUCGAUGAUCUACGUUGUACAGUUAGUAUAUACCGUUUGUCCUUGAAUUUCACAGUGUACUUGUUUUUUUCAUUCCAAUAAAUGGCGUCUUCAUGUGCUUCAAAAGUAAAGUACUAUAAUUUGUUCAACCUUUCAUGGAAUUUAUUUAUUUUGUGGAUGUGUAGUUAGCUGGAUGUCAAUUCUAUGAUCACUAUACUGCCAAAAUACAACUAUAUAUAUUUAAUAGCUUGAUGCCAAUUCUAUAAUCACUAUACAGCCAAAAUACAACUAUAUAUAUUUAAUAGGUCGAACCAUUACUUUUUAAGUAUGUAAACAAAAACUUGAAUAACUUUAAGCGUCUAUCGAUGUAUUUAACUAAUAACAAGCUUCUAAUUCUCUUAUGAAUUUUCAACAGACAAUUACACGAAUAGUCUUCUUUAAAAUGCUUUCCUUUCUUGAUUUCACAUAGAAGAAUUAGAGGCCCCACCACAACUCCUCCAAAAUAACAUUCACAAUAUCAUCAGUAAGUGGCUCCACAUUUUCCACUGGUUCUACAUCUUGCACAUGACCUCCCUAAAACCAAAAAAAUGGAAGUAAGAUAGAAUGAUUAUUUGAGAAAUUAACUCGAUCUUAGUAUCAGAGCGUGAUAUUAAGUUUAAGUUUGUGCAUUGAUAAUGCUAACUAAUAUCAUGUUAAGUAAUGAUAAGAAAAUUAUUUUAACAACAUAAUAUAAAUAAUUGUAGUAAUAGUAUAUAUAUAACUAACUAAAACCUUAUGUAGAUGUCAGAAAGAGAUCCCCUAUUUAAUGAGAUUAACGUGAUCUUUUGCUUCAAAAGGUCAAUAUAAUUCAUAAUUGCUUAACAUAAUCAUGUAAAUAAAUAAAUUAGAUUAUAGUUUGCUUUCUUUAAAUCAUUUAAAUGAGAUGACACACAAAUUACACUCUAAUAAUAAUAUUAAACCAAACAAAAUUCUUCUCACUACCAUACCACUUGUUAAUUAAUCCAUAAAAAAGAACCACCCACACGAGGGCAUAUUAAAUACAUUCAUAAGUAAAGAUUUAAGUUUAUAGACGAGAUGAUCAGAGGAGAGAAAUAAAGAUUAUACCAAACACAAGUCGAUAAAAGCAGCUACUAUGAAAUGCUGAUUCUUCAUAUUAUUAAUCUUCAAGAACCAAGUAAGCAACUCCUCCAUAAAUUCCCAAUCCACCAUAUCUCCCCUUUGUGCACCAUAAACUUUAGUCAUUUGCUCCAUUGAAUGCAAAAAAUCCAUUUUAGGAUUCUCAGUUUCCACAGCUAAGAGUAAACAAUCUUUGAAAGGGAAACCAACCAUGGAUAGAACUGAACAAGACUCGUUUUCUUCGAACGAUAACCUCCUUGUUGCCAAUGCUUGUUUUGCCAUCUCCAAUGCUUCAUCUGGACAACAACUUUCUGGGAAUGGACCAAACAUGUUAUCUACUAAACAUUGAUCAUAUUUUCUAGUCAUUUUUCUCUUCUUAUUCUUUUUCAAGAAGGAGAAACGUUUCCAUAAGGUAAAGUACUUCAUUCUUUUUUUUUACUAAGUACUCAACUUGUUACAUUUCUUCUUUUAAAUUAAAGGGCACUAGCUAUUUUAGUUACACAUUCAUUUAUAAUACUGCACCAACUCUUACAUAAAUGAAAUAAAUACUAUAUAAUAUAUAACUAAAGAGUGUGUAACGUAUUAAAAUGUUUUUCAAAUUUUGUGAUCUCAAACUUUAUAUUUGAAAUACUGUUAAAAUUAUAGAAUUAUCAAAUAUAAAAAUUAUUCUUUUUUAAGUAUGAAUAAAAUAAAAGAAGACAUGGAGUACUACAAAUUAAUUUAUUCACUUUUUAAGAAAGAACAAAUGAAAAAGAAAGUCUUCGAUCUUUUUAAUUAUAAGCUUCCCGUUAUGUGAGAAUCCACUAUUACAAACUAAUUAUAGCUAAUUACAACCAUAAAUAAAUUAACGACACUGUAUGACUUCUCUAAUAGUAAAAUUUCUAUUAAACGAUGCAUUAUUAUAUAUUAUUGGGAUAAUGCACAAGUACUCGUCAACCUAUGUCCGAAAUCUUAGACACACACUUAUAUUAUACUAAAGUUCUAUUACUCCUGAACUUAGUUUACUAAUAAUUUUUUAAUCCUUUUCGAUCUACGUGACAUUAUUUAUGUAGGUCCAACGCUGGUUGAUUUUUUUUAAGUUAGUGUCACGUAGACCGAAAAAGGAUAGAAAAUUACUUAUAAAAUAAGUUCAGAGAUAAUAAAACCUUAGUAUAGUACAAGUGUGUCUGACAUAAAUUGAAGAAUACUCGUACAUUUUCCCUAUAUUAUUUUAUCCAAUUAUCAGACAUUUCUAUUAUUUCGUAGUCAAUUUCCUCUUGCCUGUACUUGUCCCUAAUAAAAUGAUAAAUUUGUUAUUAAAAAAAAUUAGUCAAUUCCUAAUUGGUAUUUGAGGUUUUGCUAUUACUCGUAUUAAUUAAGCGUGAAUGUAGGUGAGGGAAGGUACUGAUUAUCUCAAAUAUUUUAUUGUUUUCUGGUUAGACUGUUAAACGUAAAUAAUAUUAUAAAUGGUGAACAGUUGUAAAUAUUAAAGUAAGUCUUUAAAUACCACAAAGAAAGUCCUGCUAAUAAAAUUUGUAAGUCUUCAAUAUGAUUUUUAAAAGUAUUUUACAUCAGUAAAAGUUUUGGAGCCAAUACUUUCUCUUUCUCGACAUGAUAAUUGAUAGUAUAUUUUAUUUGAAUCAAAAAUCUAUAAAAAAAUAAAAUAAUAUUUUUAUUUAUUUUAAAAAUAAACUCUACGAUAUAUCAUUCUUUUCACACUACAUUUUACAUUGAUAUGUUAUUGCUGAUGAUUCAGGUAAAUGCCAAUUUUCGAUUUAGAGACAAUGUCAUAAUUAAAAAAAAUUAUUAACGGGGUCUUGUAUAAUAUUUUAGCGUGGAUAAGUGGUUGGAGAUAUAAAACAUCAGUUGAAUGCUUUUUAUUACUUUUCUUAUAUCUAUCUAAUAAAUAAUAGCUAACACAAACAACUAGCUAGCUAGGUCUAAUUAACUAGGUCCAUGUUUGACUAUAACUACAUAUAUAAUUGGAUUGAUUUAUAUAUGUAGCUAGCCUAUGUACUGAUCAUUUGAAUUAAUUUGUUUCUCAUAUAUAAUUAAAAUUAGUAUUAAUUAAUCAAAUGAAAGGUUUAAGAGAUAAAUAUAGUAGCUUAGAUGGUAUUUUUAUGAUUACUAUAUAAUUACUCAAAAUGGAUAAUAUGGACCAAAAUAGUACUAAAAGCUUAAAUAUGUUAGCAGCUUUUAGAAAACAACUCAUUUAUGUUGGCCGUUAAAAAUUUGAUUUACCUACAUCAUUGUUGUUAAGAAAAAAUCUCAUUCAUGAUAUUUUUUUAACUUCGAUUUUGUAAAAUUAUUUUUUACGCUCCAGAUAAUAACAUUUUUCAAUUGAAGUUUUUGAAUCAAAUGUACACUUUUUGCUUCUUUUUCUUUAAGAACACAUGAAGAAUAUAAAUAACUCCCAUAUUUUUAACUUUUUCAAUUCUUCACGAAAUCAUCUCCAAUUUCGGCUACAUCAUUAAUUUCUUUUUUUUAAAAAAAAAAAUAAAAUUCUAAAAUCAUUUGUAGAGCUUAAAAAUUUACUCAUAUUUUAAAAAAAUUCCGUAAAACAAAAAUCAGUCCCAAAAUUUCAAAAUUUUGCUUUGAUUCAUCUUUUUUAGUUGUUUUUUUACAAUAGAUCUUUGUUUCAUAUUGUUAUUUUAGUUUACUUUCAAAGUUUUCAAAUGAUUUGAAGUUUUGGAGAAAGUUCUACUAUUAAAAAAUAUUAAAAUUUUGAAACUUUGAAGAUAUUUCAAGUGAGUCUAAUUUAGUUAGAUUGAAUUUGAGUUUGAAAGAUAUUGAGUUUUGAUAUCUAGGUAUGGAAAUAGUUACUUAUACAAAGCUUAACAACGAAUUAUUCAGUGAUAUUAGAUUUAAUUCAUUAAAUUAAAUUGGGACAUUAAAUAGGUGCCAAAACAUUUGAUAAAAAAGAGCCAGAUUGGCUUUUAGCUUACCACAGGACUUUCAUCAUACCAGUUUUUUUUAAAAAUCUCCAUCCUCUUAGCUUUGUUUGGACAUAGAUUUUGAGAAUAAAUAUUUACUCCCUUUGUCUCUUUUUAUAUGAUUUUUUUGUGUUUUGAAAUAUAAAUAAGUCUAUUUUGGAUUGUAAAUAUUUUAUAAAUUUGUUUAACAUUUUGAAUUAUCAAUUAUUGUGACUUAUAGUAUUCUUUAUGUAGUUUACAAAUAUAUAAGUUUCAUUUAAAAAAAUUAAAGAUUUCAUACGCAAAUUUCUGAAAAAUUAAACUGUUUGACUCUCGGAAAAUAAAAAAUGUCAUAUAAAAUGAGACAGAGUAAAAUAAAAGGUUUGAUCAUCAUAUUGGCCAAUUGGUGAAAAUCUAUCUCUAAAUCUUUUUCAAGUUUCACUCAUAAAUUUUCAUUUCUGCGAGUAAAAAUACAUGUAUAGAUACAACUUUAACUUCUAAAAAUUAUAUAUUCCAAUAAAUUUUUAAAAAUAUAUAUAUUUUUUAAAAUUUCAAUUAAAUCUAUGAUGACACAAACUUGAUUUUUCAUUUUGUGAAAAUUAAGGAAAUACAGAUUCAUCCAAAGUCACGGAAAUAAAAACUUGGAGCUUUCAUCGAUCGACUAUUCAAUUUAAAUUGGAUAUUAUUAUUACUCCACGUACAUGGAGUCAACACUUUCUUAGGUAAUUUGGGUUUUGAAUUUGUAUUGAGUCUAUACAUGUUACUUUGCUGUUUCGGUCUUGCAACAUUUUAUUUUAAUAAAAUAAUAAUAAGAAAAAGUGGACGAUAUAAAAUUUUAUUUUUGAAUUAUUGACAGGUUACAACAUCAAAAUGUAUUUACGUCUAGAGUCAAGUAAAUAGGUAUUCAAGGUUGUCAAUAGUUUCAAAGAUUAAAUUAAUAAUUUAAUAAUUAUUUUGAACCAAAUAAAUUAAAAUUAGAAUUGAGAAUCGGUGAGUUUGUAAUUAGCUUGAAAAUAUGAGUAUUUCCUCUUCUAUUAGCUAUUAUUAAAAUUAAAAGUCAUGAAAAACAAUAUUUUCAGCUUAAAAGAAUAAAUGAAAUAGCUUUUAUUUACUAAUAAUUAAUUAACUUCUAAUCCAUACAAGACGCCAGCAUGUCUUUCUGCUCCGUUAUUCACAAAAUAAAUAUCCCUCAUUUUCUGAAACGCAUGCCACGUCAGCAAGCUAUCUGAACCGGCCUGGUGACAUUUUCCGACCGCCCGGUCCACGGACAAUGUCUUCGCAAGCCGGUCUAAACCACCAUAAAGGCUAUUACAGAAUCUCAUCAAAUGCUUCAUAUCAUAAACUUUAUUUCCAAAAAACACCCUCACGACUUCCAUAAACUCCUCUAAUCCACCGGGGAGUUCCCGGCGCGUGAGUAUCUUCACCAGGUAACCGAAAUCAUACGCGCUGUGAAACGUAACCCAACUCACCGAUUCAUUACAAACCAAACCGGACGACAUCAUCAGUUCAGUGAACCGGGCUGAGUUGAUCCCGCAUUCCCGGUUCAUUUCAAAGUCGAUCCCCUGUCGGCGGAGUAACUCGAUGGAAUCCGGAGCGUAGAGAUCACGCUCCACAUCGAAAUCGGAGAAAUUGAACUGCCAUAUGUAGCCGCCUCCGUCAGAUCCUAAACCAGGUAGGUUACCUUCCGCGUCAGAUAAAGUUAACCCAAGCUGUAUGAGAUUCAACACAUCCACGUUAGACUUCAAGAGCUUAUACUGAUCGGAUGGGGGAUUGUAGGAAACGUUAGGCUUGAAAACAACCCCAGGAAACUCAGUAUCCAUAGAUAUGUAAGGGUAGUUAUCAAUCACAGUUGAAAUAAGUUGAAAUUCUGGUUCGAGAUUAUGAGCCCAUACUUGUCGAAUUUUAAUAGCCAUUAUGGGUAUUGAAAGUAUGAAAGAAGGAAACUGAAUUGUUUGUUGGUGAGUGUGAGGGUAUUUUAUUUUUAUUUUAUAGAAAUAGAAAGAAGAGAGGCAAGUGGUGGGGGGAGUUGAGUGGUUUUGCAGAGUGAAAAGGGAAGGAGAAAGGAAAGAGAAUGGAAUGCGUGGGUACACAGAAAUAGGGCAAGUUUUUAGUCCACGUUCAACGCGUUUGAGUUGUUUCAUUUGACUCAUAAACAAAUUAGAGUGAUGAUUAUACAUAAUCUAUUUCAUUAUAUGGUCUCGUUUUUUAUGUUUUUUUUUAAAUACACUUAAAUAUAUUCUCAUUACUAAUCCCUUCAGUUAAAUAUAUUAAGAGAAUUUCUUUCUCUCAUUCCAAGUUGUAAAGUAAUACGGGUUUGUCAUUUCAUAAAAUUUAUGUAUAAAUUAUGCUAAUAUUUUUUUAUUUUAUCGCUUGAAAGUAUAAAUUAUUCAAUAUAAUAAAAUUAAGUAAUUUUAGUUUAUUUUUAUCUAUUAAAUUAGUUAAUCAAAGUAAAAUUCAAAAUGUUGACAACUGCAUAAAAAAAAAGGGAGAGAACUUUUUCAAAAAAAUACUUCUACUUCAUUUUCAAAUAAGGAAUAAAAUUGAAAGAAUUUUCUAAAAAUAGUCUUGAAUACUGAAUAAUUAAGUUAAUUUAAAAAAUACAAAAUGCUUUAAAAAUUUAAUUGAUAUGAAAUGGUGAGAGUAAAAUUUUCUGACAAUCUUUUUAAAAGGAGCUGUCAAAUUAACAAAGGAUAGGUACAAUUAAACGGAAAAAAUAAUAUUUUAUUAAAAAAGACAAAAAUUUUAUAUCGACAAUUAGUGAGAUGAAUAUACUCCUUAUAAAGCUUGAGAAAUUUAUUUCAUUUGAACUAACUUUUAAAGUGUAAGUUAGACCUAAGACCUGACUCUUUUUAACAUAUUUAAAACCUUGUAUUUGACAUUGCUUUAGUUCACAUACAAAAUAUUUUAACAUAUUUGAAACCUUGUAAUUGACAUUGGUCUAGUUCACAUACAAAAUAUUUUACUCAUGAAUUAUUUGAAAUAAAAAUAAUUAUCUUUCGUCAACAUUAUCUCCACAAAUGUCAUUUUUAUAUUAAGUAACGAAAAUUACGUCAUCUUUGCUUAAAAACCAAUCAAUUCUUGACUAUUCUUUAUCACCCAAUUAUUAACACAUUUAAAAUAUAUUAUUUGACAAAAUGUUAACAGAAAAUACAAUGAAUAUGAAAAUGCUGGAAGUGAGCUAAGCAAAUGAACUAAUUUUGUUUUUUCUUCUAUUUUGGGGUUUCUGAAUCAGUGGAUUUUGGUAGUUUCAGAAUUGUGACAUCUGCUUGGCGGUGCACGUGUAAAUAACUAAAUUAAUCAUCACAUGAUUGACAAAUUAAAAUAACGUAAACUUGUUUAAUUUUAAAUAUCAACAAAAUAAUUUAUUAUUUUAUAUUCAUUCUUAAUUACAUAAUUCGAUAAAAAAGAAAAAAAGACAUAUUUUUUUUUUGCAGUAAAGAAAGAUAUAAAAUUAUUGAAUGUUAAUUAGCUUUUUUCUUCGUUUAAACAAAACGUACCGUCAAAAGCAAUUAAAAUGUAAUUAUCAGCAAUUUGUGGAGAUUUCUUUCACAUUUUUAAUUUUUACGAAUUCAAUAUUUUAUAAUAUGUAAAUAAUAAGAUAGUGGGGGGUUUAAUCAUUGAUUUAAUUUUAUAAAAUCUUAUUUAAUUAAAAACGUGAUAAAGGAGGACAUUCAGCAUUUUCGUGCCAGUCAAAUAUAUAUUGAUGCAGUGGCCUCCUUAGAAUACUCUUUCUAUGGCAUCUCUUUAAUUAUUAUUAUUAUAUACCAGUAGAAAUAAAACUAGUGGUGCUACACUAACUAAUAUUCUAAAAGUAAAGUAGUUUGACAAUUUUUAAAAAAUAAAAAUAAUUUUUAAAUUUUGUGAUCAUAAAUUAAUAUAUAUUGAAUGUAUUAAAAUAUUUUUUAAUUUUAAUAUUUUAAAUAUGUCGCGUCAGAAAAAAUUGAAAUAAAAUAUUAUUUAUCAAAUUAAAGAUAUUUUUUUAAAAAAUACUUUUAAAAGGAAAUAAAAUAGAAUAGGGAAAAGACUCAAAUAUGCUAUUCAAUUUUCAGAAUAGACUCAUUUAUGUCAUCAGUUAAAAGUUUGACUCAUUUAUGUCAUUAUCGUUAAAAAAAACUCAUUUAUGUCAUUAUUUUUUAACGAUGAUUUUGCAAAACCAUUUUUUAGACGUGAUUAAUUAUAAUUCGGUCUAGUUAUUAAUUUAUUUAAUUACAAAAAUAAAAAAAUAAUUCUUUUUUCAGUGCAAAAUAUAAAAAAUUAAUUAGUAUUACUUAAGUUGUACACUGUAUUAUUACCUUCCUCAUUUGACCCUGCUUUUACAUAUAUGUUGACUUGACUAGUCUCUUUAGACUUAUUUUAGUCAACCACGUAUACUCCUGUAGUGUAAAGACCGAGUAAAAACUAUAGGUUAUGAUAAUGUGGGACAAUUAUAUUAUCCAUUUACAUUAUUGUAUAGGUUCGAUGGAGGGUAUUGGGGGUCCCAAUAAACAUGAUUUUCAAAUCAUGUAUCAUGUAUGAAUUGAAUUUUUCCACUUAAUUGAUAAACUUGUAAAAAAAUGAAAUAAAUUUAACUUGCUAUAUAUAAAUUACUUAUUAAAUAACGACUCUAAAAAGCAAAUAUUUCAAUUUUCAGCAUCUUGCUCCUUAGUGGCUGCAAUUUAGGCCCAAGAUCCUUAUUUUGAUCUGCAGCCCAUUUACUUCUCAAUCUAGUUAUGGGCCCAAUGGUUAGGCUCAACAUUUCUAUUUGAUCCAACAUGUAUAUGGAGAUUAUACCAUAAUAAAACAUUUAAAAGAUUAAAAUAACCUAGUUUUUAGAUUUUUUUACUUAUUUUAAAGAUAUGGUAAGAUUAUAAACUUUUAUAAGUACAUAGUGUAUCUUACUUUUACAUUUUUGUUUGAAAAUAAAAAAAAUCAUAAAAUCAAUUGUAUUUAGUGCAAAACUACCAUCCAUCCAUUUUUGAGCCAAAAAGGUUGACGCGAACUUUGUACUGUGCACAUUACUUAGACGGGUUCUAGAAAGGCAUAUAGAAAGGAAUGGAGAAAUCGAGAAUAAAGAAAUUUAAUAAGAAAGAAAAGCCAAAGAAAUGAGAUAAUAUCGAAUUAUAUUUCUUUGGAUCUGAGUUGAAUCUUGUCUAUUUCAACACCCCUAGAUUCGGAUUCUACUUUUAAGUCUUUCCACAAUUAACUAAUUUUACCUUUCUAAUAUGUAUUACGUCUUUCUAAUAUGUAUUACGUAUUCAAAUUCGUUUGAACAAGAGGAGAAAAAAAGAGGAGAUAGAAUCCAAUUCUUUUAGAUACUUUAUCUAAGAAACUCUACCCAUCUAUGUUCUAGAUGGGGUAUAUCUCGCUAAACUGGAUAAAGCUAUUAUUCUAAUCUAGACUAUAAAAAAAUAUGUAUGUGGAUUCAUAUCAAUUAAUUAGAAAUUCAUUCUAGGGAAGAGAGACCCAUAAAAAUUAAUCA